RNAcentral lists this long non-coding RNA (52594 nucleotides) under Gossypium barbadense (sea-island cotton). RNAcentral's name for it is "long non-coding RNA (GBAR_LNC005282)". Lineage: Eukaryota; Viridiplantae; Streptophyta; Magnoliopsida; Malvales; Malvaceae. The record is from RNAcentral.
UUUUUUUUUUUUUUUCUGUUAUAGCAUGAUUAUAUGAAUGCAUGAAAAUUUUGGUGAAUUAAUUUUAACGAUUGGGAGCUCAAUUACGAAAAAUGACAAAAUUGCAUAAAGUGCGAAAGUUUUGUUCUACUAACUAAAGGUUUCAAAUAGCUAUGGAGCAUUAAAGUAGAGGUCCUUAUUGAGUAAAUAGACUAAUAAAAUGUUAGUGGCUGGACAUGGAGCCUUAAUUCAUGGGAUGGUCAAAGGGUAGGUGACUUAAUUGAUAAACAAAUAAUAAACCUAAAGGCUAGCUAUCAUCUUUUUCUCUUCUUCUCUUCUCCACCAAAAUUUUCAACAAGAAAGGGGUUUUGAAAGCUUGAAAAUUUCAGCCAUUAAGUUCUCUCAUAAGUAAGUGAUCUUAUGACUUUUCUUGAUAAUUUUUGUACUUUUGGGAGCCUUGUAGCAUAAGCUAUCUAAUGAGGGGACUAUUUUGCAAAAUGGUUGAGAGUCUAGGGUUUUUCCAUGAAAAAAUUUAUGUGGUUAGCUAAGAUUUUAUGGAAGAAAAUGAAUCGUGGUUGUUAAAUAAACAACUUUUGUGAAAGGGGUUUCAUGAAAACACCUAAAUGGGUUGUUUUGUAAAGCUUGUAAAAUUGGUGGUAAUUGUAUGAAAUGUUUGAAAUUUUGAGUUGCUAUAGGUAUAAAAAGAGUUCAUUUAUGCUUGGUUAAUGAGGAAACUCGAUAAAAAUUGAUUUUCGAGCCUAAGGGAAAAAUCGUAAUUUUUGUAAAGUAUAAGGGAAAAACGGUCAUUUUUCGGAUUGUGAAUUGUAGAAUAUUUUUAUUAAUCUGAUGAUGAAAUGAGUGAAAUUUUAUUAUUUUAGAUCAAGAAAUACGCAAUCCAGACAUAGACUGGGGAAAAGUCAAGCAAGCUGAUUAAAUACAAUUAAUCGCCUACAUUUUGUGUACCGAGGUAAGUUGUACGUAAAUAAUUUAAUUUAUUUGUAUUUAUGUAUUGUAUAAUUAAUAUGGCAUAAAUUGUGGGCUAUUGCUGUGAAUGUGCAUGAUGAGAAUUGAUGUAGUAGAGACUCCCGGUUGAACCUCAGGAAUAAUUUCGAUAUCAAUGCCAUGACAUUUGGGUGAUGUGUGUGUUAGUGUAAGACCUGUCUGGGACAUGGCAUCGGCCUCAUGAUAUGCAAACUAGUGUAAGACCUGUCUGGGGCAUGGCAUCAGCCUCAUGAUAUGCAAGCUAGUGUAAGACUUGUCUAGGGCAUGGCAUCGGCUUGAGGUGUGUUAGUGUAAGACCUGUCUAGGAUAGGGCAUCGACACAAAUAAGUGAGAGCCAGUGUAAGACUUGUCUAGGACAUGGCAUCACCUCGAUGUAUGUAACUCAGUGUAAGACCUGUCGGGGACAUGGCAACGACUUAAAUGUGUGAGCCAAUGUAAGACCAUGUUUGGAACAUGGCGUCGGCAUCGUACCCUGUGUUUGAGACUUGAUGAUUAUCCUAUAGUAUUCCAAAUGGUUCAAUGGGAAAUUUACGGUUUAUGUCAAAAUGAUAGCACUUAUGACCAUGUUGUGAGUGGUACAGGUACUUACAUGAAAUUGAUGAUCUGUCAACUUUGUUCUUGUUGUAUGAAUAGCGAGGAAUGAACAUGACUAAGAAUUGUUAUGAGUAUUUUCUGUUUGUGCGAGUUAUGAUAUAUUGGGAGUAUGAUAACAAGUGGUAACAUGGUUGUUAUUUCGAUAUUUACAUACAACUUACUAAGCUUUGUGCUUACCCUUUUCCUUUCCAUUUUCUUGUAGUGCCGCCAAAUCAACCCGUGAAUCAAAGAACGUCGGAGGCAUCACUCACACUAUCACUCUAAGCUUUUUUUAUAGUUAGUUUUAUUAACUUAAGUAUGGCAUGUAUAGGGAUUGAGUCUUUUUGUUAUGUGUCAUAUUGUUAAGUUAGCCAAUUGUGUUGGCAUGGGACAAAAACCUUCUUUUUGUAUAAGGCCAUGGUUAAUGGUUAAUAUUCAUUAUUGAUAUUUGAAAAUGAUGAUGCUUCCCUGGAUGAACAAAUGUGUGAAUGAUCGAGUGCAUGUUCGGUUGUUAGAGUGUUAUAAGGUUUGCAUUUGAAUGACAUGUUGUGGUUGAUUUAGUCUUAUAUAUUUGUGUAGAUUGGAGAUAUCUGUUGUUGUGUAGGCUGGUGCAAGUAAGGGUGGAAAAAAGGCUUGGUAUAUAGCCUUGUUUUGUCCACACAGGUAGACACAUGGGCAUGUGUCUAGGCCGUGUGCGACACACGGUCAGCCCCAUAGGCAUUUGUCUGGCCGUGUGUCCCCUACACCUUAAAAUUUCAAGUUAGUAUGCAUGGUAGUAAACACACGGGCAAAGACACGACUAUGUGUCUCAACCGUGUGGAGGACACAGCCUCUGGGCAUGGGCGUGUGCCCAGCCAGUAUGAAGUCUGUACCUUAAAUGUGGAAUUUAAAUUCACCACACGGCCUACCACACGAGCAUGUGCCUUGGCCGUGCGCGUGUGCCUAGGCCGUGUGCCCCUAAAUGGUUGCUGACAUCAGAAACAAAAUGUCAAGGUUUUUGGAAAUGGACGUGUCAUGGUCGUGUGAGGGACACAGGCCAUGGACACGGGUAUGUGCCAGGCCGUGUGAAAACCCUUGUAGGUUUGAAUUAGGAUUAAUUCUACACGGUUUAGGGACACAGACGUGUCUCGAUGUGUUUAGGCCGUGUGAACAGCACGAGCCUUCAACGCGGCCAUGUCAAGAAGGCCACACGGGUGUGUCGCCCCUUCCAUACGAGAGUGUACCCCUUGUUCAAGAGUCAUUUUCCAGAGUUCUUUAAAGGACCCGGUUUGGUUUCGAAUCGUCCUUAAAGUUUGUUUUAGGCCUCGUAGGCUCGUAAUAAGGAAUACUAGACAUGGUUUGAAAAUUUUUAAGUUUGAUCAAGUUUCUAAGAUUUGUAAAUGUUGGAAUGCAUGUGUUUAAGUUUAGCAAUGCCUCGUACUCAGUCCCGACCUCAGACUCGAGUAAGGGGUGUUAUAGUGAAGGGGGAGCGAAAGGACGGUGGUGGGGGAAGAAGAGAGGGGAUUUUUUUUAUUAAAUCUUAAUAUAACUAUAUUUAUUUAUAUUAAUAGUAAUAUUAAUAUAAAAUUUAAAUUUAUUAUUAUUAUUAUUAUUUUGGAAAUAUUUAUGUAUUUUUUAUAUAUUUCCUUUUAGUUUUUAGAGUUAGGAUAAAAUUGAGAAUAUUUGUAAAUUUUGAGGGUUAAUUUUUAAAAUUAUGACUAAAUUGAUAUAAUAUAUAAAAUCAUGUUAGCUUGUUGUUUGUGAUUUUAACGAGAGUGACCAAAAUGACCAAACUAUCUAACGUGAGUGGUUAAAAUGCAAACUUUUUAUCUUAAGUGCCUAAAAUGAAUUUUUUUUAUAGUUGGUUGACUAUCCUUGUAGUUUACCCUUAUUUUAAAUCACUUUGUUACACUUCUACUAGUUAUUAGGUGGCAUUUGGUACAUUCUUAUUGUAAGAUUUCAAUAAAAUGUGAUUUUUUGGAAUGUAAUUGUUAAGAAUGUGAGUACGAAGAUCAAUUAAUUCUAGCAUUUGGUAUAUUUGGAAAGUACUAAUUAAAAUAUCGAAAAAGUUACAUGGAUGCAUUUUGUUCACUAAGCACUGUACUAGUGUCACGGGCCGUAAAUCAAAGCCCAUGAUCAAUACGCACAGGAUGUCCCAUAGAGAUCAACAAAUGAAAUAAAGCUCAUUUGACCCACUUGAACUACCCGAUUCAUAAAAUAUAAGCAAAAUCCCAUCUCCUUGAAGCCUUGGUGGCUUAGUGAAACACUUUAGUAAAACUUGAGUUACUAGGGCAAUUAAUGUAAAUCUUAAAUAAUGAAUAUGUAUAGAGUUCAAACCCCUUAAGACUCUCAUCUUAUAGAUAGGUACUAAUCUUAGCCAUUAAUGUAAAUCGAUCUAUACAACCACAUUUGGGGAGCUCAACUAUAAAUACAGGUCUCCCCCUCCAUUUGUAAUCAUUUCAUUCUUUCUAAGUUAAUAUAUUGAGAGAAUUUACUUAAACACUUGAUGUGCACUCUCUUUUUAUGGCUUUCUUUAGUUCAUUUGUAGCUUCUUUCCUUUCAGAGUUUGCUUCCACUUUGUUUUGGUGCCUUAGAGAAAUUUUACAAGAAUUCUCACUUUACGAGGGAAAGGCUAACUUAGGCAAAUUUGAAGUGAAGAGAUCGCCUAAGGUCAUAUGGAUAUGAGACGAAAGGUGUAGUCUUGUGACUGUUGGUACUAGAGCUAGUGGUUGAAGGCACAGAUCAAAAUGUGGAAAGAAGUUGCUGAGGAUAAUUAGCCUAUAGAGAACCGUGGGAGGGGCAAAAAAGAUAGUAGCUCGAGGGAUAUAUCAUCACUCUUGAAGGUAAAGUUUCCAAACUUGAAGGUUCUAUAGGGGGUGUGAAGGAGACCCUUAAGUUAGUCAAAGGGUGCAUCAAUGAGUUGAACAAGAUGAAAGAAUGGCUCAAGGACUAUGCGAAUAAGGCUCUUAAUGGCAAUUGGAAUGUGAUGAAAAAGGUCUUUAAUACCGCAAAGAGUGAUCAGACUGAGAAGAAUGAAGCUCUCGAAGCCGUGAUAGCAGAUUUGAAGUAACAGGUUGCGGAGCUCAUGGGGGAGCUCACUAUCUGUAAAGUUGUUCUAAGUAGUGGGAUGCUGGUUUUGACUCCAAAGCAGAGUAGCAUAGAUGUUUUCAAACCAAAUGAGUUCAAGGGAAGGAGGUUCGCAAGAGACAUGGACAAUUUCCUCUAAAGGAUUGAACAGUAUUUCUGUGCGAUGGGUAUCGAUGAUAAUGCCACUAAGGUAAAUAUUACUGCAACUUAUUUUACUGAUAUCAUUUUUUUAUGGUUGCGUCAUGUGUCCAUAUAUGAGAGACAAGGUGGGACCAAAAUCAAAACCUGGGAAGAGUUCCAAAAGGAGUUUAAGAAGCAGUUUUACCCACAUUAUAUGUCUAGAAGGAGGCUUGGGCAAAGCUGCGUCGACCUACAAAACAAGGCACUGUUCCGGAGUACGUUCAUGAUUUCAAUUAAUUAAUGCAUCAAAUCUUUAGCUUGAAUGAGAAACAAACAUUCUAAUGGUUUGAAGAUGGCCUAAAGAUGUUAGCAAAACAAGAGUUGCGUUGACAAGGCAUCACCAAACUUACCAUAGCCAUGGUAAAGGUUGAGGCAUUUUUUGAGUUUAAGGGCAAAAAGUUAGGUAUUCUUAAGUAUUCCAAGCCCAAACUUAAACACAAUGGAAAUGGUGGGGAAGGCCAUGAGGAAAAGAAAGAUGAAGAAGGCAACAAUGACUAAGGUAAGAAUGGUGGUAAUAUGAAACCAUGUAACGAGAAGUGGAAGCCCAACAACAAACCGAAGGGGCCAAUAAAGUGUUUCCUUUGUGAUGGUCAACAUACGGUGAGGGACUGUAAAAAAAAGUUUGUAUUAUUUGCCAUCAUGUGGGACGAUGAGCCAGACAAAGCAUCGAUGAAACUUCGCUUGAUUGUGUGUUCUAUAAAAGCUAAGAGGGUAAGAGAGAAUGAGAAGAAGCCAUUAAAGUGUUUCUUGUGUUGUGGUCUAUAUAGGAUGUGAAAUUGCCCAGAACAAUCCAAGACGUUUGCAAUGAGUAAAGAGAAUGAAGCGGAGCCUGUUGAGAGUAAGGAUUUAAAGCUUAGGUCAAUGAUACUCAAUAUGGCAAAGGUGAAAAGGGAUUGCAAGCAAGAUUGGUUGACGUAUGUGGACAUCAACAUUGUAGGUCAGAGUAAGAGUGGUCUUAUUGAUACUAGGGCAAUAGAUUUUUUUUAUUCAUGGGUAAACUCAGUCUUUCAGUGAGUAAGUCAACUAAGAAUAUCAAGACUGUUAAUUCCAAAGACGUCCUAACAAUGGGAGUAGCAUAAGUAGUUGAGCAACAAAUCAGUCAAUGGAAAGGUAAGGAAGAAUUCGAGGUAAUCCACUUGGAUGAUUACGAUUUUUUUAUUGGCUUGAAUUUUUUUGACAAGAUUAAUGCUCUUUUGGUUCCUUUUAUCAUGGGUAAACUCAAUCUCUCAAUAAGUGAGUCAACUAAGAAGAUUAAGACUGUUAAUUCCAAAGAGGUCUCGACUAUGCAAGUAGCACAAGGAGUUGAGCUAUAGAUCGAUCAAUGGAAAGGAAAGGAAGACUUUGAGGUAAUCCACUUUGAUAAUUACGAUUUUAUUCUUGGCUUAAAUUUCAUUGACAAGAUUAAUGCUCUUUUGGUUCUUUUUUCCAACUAUAUAUGCAUCCCGAGUACUAGACAACAAUAAUACAUUGUGCUAGUGAAUCGAGAAAUGAGGGGUGAAACAAAGGUAUUGUUGGCAAUCUAACUAGCUAAUGAUAUUUUGUAUAGGAGGAAUAUUGAUGAAGACCCCCUUGGAAAUGCUAGAAGCGCAAAAAAUCGAUAUAAAGCAUGUUGAGUCAUCAAAAAGGUUACCACCUAAGAGAAAGGUGGGUUGUGCAUCAGACUUCGAAGGAAAAGUAGUGAUGCAAACUGAACAAUUGGAGAAAAUAAAUGCUAUGAAGAGGUACAUCUCAAACACUUUGGUAAUGUUUUACAAUAUGACUUACUAUUGCCCUUUCAGAGUUCGGAAGUGAGUAAGCUGAUGGGUUUACAAACUAGAGGUAGCAGCAACACUCAAAGUGAACUCGAUGUUCAACGUGGGCAUGCCUAAGCCUAUUUAUGUGAAUCAUAAGGAUCUCAAUUGAGGCAAGUCACAAUGGGGGCAAAUAAGAGUGGUGGCCUCUUACGAACGAGAUGUACAAUAGAGGAAUACAUUUUGAGUUAGGCAAUGGUAGAGACAUAAGCUGAGGCAAAUAUUCCAAGGAGUAGAACUAUCCAACAGAGAGACUAGCUAAAAAUUAGUUGAGGCAUCGAGAUCGUUCUAAGACGAGUUAAACUAGUUUCAUUAUAAAGAUGUGAUGAGGGCAUCGUGAGAAUGGAUGGGGGAGAAUUUCACGAGCCGUGGAUCAAAGCUCGUGACCAAUGCAAAUGGAAUGUCCCAUGGAGUUUAAUAUAUGAAAUGGGGCUCAUUCAACCCACUUAAAUUGGCCUGAUUCGUGGAAUAUAAGUAGAAACCUAUCUACUUGAAGCCUUGGUUGUCAUAUCCUAAAUAUACGGCUAGAAGAAAUAGGAGUAAAAUUUAGAAUUUUAUUUUUUAAAGCAUAAGGUAAGAGAAUUAGAAGGCCUUAAAAAUUAUUUGUGUUAAGAAAGUAACAAGAAUGAGUCUUCUAGUUUGUGGUAGAGCCUUAGCUUACCCUUAGGUCCUAAGUUUGAAACCCCUUGUAUGCAUUUAGUCAAAAUAUUUUAUUUUCCUAUUUUUACCCCCAUCAAAGUACCAAGAUCUCAAAAUACCCAGCCAAAAACCAUUUUUUCGUAAAAUAGUUUUAAUUUUACAUAAAUUCCUAAAACUUAUUUCAAUUAAGGGAAAUAGUUUUAUAAAUAAGAAAUCUUUUCAAACCCUAGAAUUUUUAUCUAGCAAACUUUUCAAGAAAAAAUCCCAAGUUCUUCUUUUUCUCCACCAUUACCAAAUCAAUCUUCAAGCAAAAGAAUUUAAAGUUUUCAAACUAGUCCCUCUCAUCCCGAGUAGAUCGUCAAUCUCCUCAUCCGAUUAAGGUUUUGUGUUUUCAAAAUCAAGUGUGGGAUCUACACUUAAAUCGUUGUGUAUAAUUAAUUGAAGUACUAGGAAAUAAGUAUCAGUAUAUGUGAACCUCCUAUAUAUGCGAACCCUCAAUGUGCGAGCCCUUGUGUAGGAACCCUUUUAUGUGAUCCCCUUACAUGUGUGCAAACCCAUAUGCAUGAAAACCCUAUAGUAUACAAAACCCCCUAUAGUAUGUAGAACAACCUAUAAUAUACGAACCCCUUUGCAUGUGCGAGGCCUCUCAUGCGAACCCCUAUAGGCGAGCCCCUUAUGUGAACCCCCUAUUGCGAACCCAUAUGUAAAAUCAUAUAUGAUUUAUUAUGAGAACUUCUAAUAUAUAUCCUUGUGAACCCUACAUGAAAAUUAUACGAACUCUAUGUGUUAUUCAUGCAAACCCUUCAUGAUUAUUUAUACGAACCCUAUGUGUUAUUCAUGUGAACCCUAUAUAUUUGUGUAUAUGUAAACUAUAUACAUGUUAUUACGCGAACCCUCAUAUUGCAGUAUGCGAACCCUAACUGUUCCACUAUGUGAACUUUACAUGUUUAAUAUGUGAACCCUUUAUGUGUACUUUACGAACCCUGUAUAUGUGUUUAUAAAAACCCCCUUGUAUGUCUAAACCCCUGUACGCAAGCCAUGUAUGCGAACCCCUUUUUGUAUCUACAAACUCAGUAUGUGCAAACCUUACUUGUGCGAACUCUUCUUGUGAACCUGGAUGUAUGCAUUAGUCGAACUAUGCCUAUUAAAUUCGAAUGAAGAUACUGUAUAUGCAAUAUUGUUUUAAAUCACAUAAAUUAAUUAUAUAUGUGAAAUUGAUGGGAAUAAGUGCAUGAAUACAUGCCAAUGAAGAAUAGUAUGAAAUAUUGAAUAGAGCAUCAAUUAAUGAUAAAUAGCAUAACAUGCUAAGUAUAUGUGCAUAAUUAUAUGAAAUUGGGUAUGGAGGAUGAAAAAGUUCCAUGGGAGACAGUGGCAAUUUAAGUCCACAUUGAAUGAUAGUACUGCAUGAAGUAGGCGGCAAUGUUAUCAAAAUCAGAUAAACUGGGAUGUUAGUUUAAAAAGCCAUCAAAACCAGGCAACCAAGAUUGUAAGUUAUUGAAGUAAAAGUCAUCAUCAUAGAUGACAAGUGAACGACCAUCUUCAUCGGGAAAUCUGAGAUGGUUAGUUAUUGAUAUGUAUUUUGGAGUGUUGAGCAAUGCUCGAGGGCGGAUAGGAUGGACAAUUGGGAAAUUCAAAUUAAAAUUGCAUUGCAUCAUGAACAUAACCUGUUUAUACAUUGGUUUACCAAAUUUCCUUACAUUAUGCUUAUUUUUUUAUUAUUCCAUCAAUUGAAAGCUUUAUUGUUUAUAAGUUUGUAUAUAAUGGUUUAAAAAUUAGGCUCACAUUGAGCUGUUAUAAGCUCACUCCCUCUUUUUCCUUACUUCACAAGUAACUUAGAGAACUAGGACUCGAAAUGGUAUCAAAUGAACCUCAAAUUAGUAGAUUAUUUUUCUUUUAUUUUAAAAGUUUCCAUUAAAUUUUUCUAUAAUUGUUUUAUUCUUUUUGGAUUGUAAUUAUUAACUAAUUUUUGAUUUCACAUCAUUAGGUUUUGGGUUUGCUUAGUUUAUUUAUGUUAAGCAUGAUACUUAAUUAAAACUCUGAUAAAUACAUGUUAUAUGGUUUAGAAAACUAAUAUUCAUAAAUGUUUUCCAUUGCUUUACAAAAUACCUAAAAUUUUGAUAAAUCUUUUUUUUUAGAACUUUAACCGUUUUCAAAACGCCACGAUAAUAAUGUCAUAAUUAAAUCUCUAAGAAAAGUCGACUUAAUGAAAGAAUGUUUUCCUAAAACCGAAAGGGUUUUUUCUAUUCAAAAUCAAAUGCAUCUAAAAUAGUGGUUUUAUAGGAUCACUUCGGUGAUCGAAUGUAAAGCCUUAGACUUAGCUAAAAUUCCUACUCUUGGGAGGUGUUACAUUGGUGGCCUAGUGAAAUACUCCAGUAAAAACUAGAGUUAUUGUUAGGGUAUUUGAGUGGAGAAGAUAGAUUUGGAGAUGAUAUCGAAUUAAAUAGUAGACUUGGAAGCGCAAAUGACGCUUUCCAAGUAGAACAAUUUCCCUUUUAAACAAAGCUGAUAGAGAGUUAAGACAAAGAUCCUCUUGUAAUACAAUGAAGCUUUUUUAUUUUCUUUUAUUAGAAAAAUCGAGGAAUUCCAUAACUCUUACUCUAAUUUCUAAAAUUAGAUUGAUUAUAAUGAUCAUCUUUUAAGUACUAUAGUCCCUCUAUUUAUAUGCACUAAAAGGACAUUAUUGAAGAACCAUAACUCUUCGUAUUGGACAUACUUCUUAGAAGAAACAUGUCUUAUGGAAAUCAAAUGCAUCUAUUAAAUAAAUCAUCACUUUCUAAUUUGAAUAAGUGCUCAUGAAUAAUGAAUUUUGAAUCUGCAAAUUUCCAACAAUCCCCUACUAGAUUGCUAAUUCUAGAAAAUAAGUACACAAUGAUUAUGCAUAAAGAAGGGUGUAUGCAGAUUGAACCUUACUUUAGUGCAAACUCCCAAAGUAUCAACAAUAUGAAUGGUGGCUAGUCGCUUGAACGACUACUCUUAAAGUCAAUACCAAAAAAAUUCACACAUAACCAUAAAGUAUUAGAGAAAGAUUUUCUUUGCUUUAGCACCGUUAUGGCCAUGUGUUCAUCCCGUAUUAUGAACAUGUAUGAGAGAAAACUAUAAGGAAACUCUCGUUGAAGCAACACCACUUCAUGUCCAUAUAGGUGGAUUUCAUGAAUAUUAAUAUCCAUCCAUUAAGAGUAAAACUCAUCCUCCUAAAAUAGAAACACUAAAUCCUGAUUCUUAGUACAUGUUAUUAUUCGAUAACUUGUUAUUACCCUUUGAACCUUGAAACUAACUUUUGGCUAGAACAAGGUAGGGUUUAAAUUAUCAAUGACGCGAUUAGAAUGGUUUUAAUCCUAUUUUAAUGGUGGUACUCUUAACCAAAUCCCUUGACAAACCUUUUGUCAAUGGAUCCGCUAAAUUUUCAAUUGACUUAACAUAGGUAAAAGUUAUCACACCGUCCCUAAUCAAUUGUCUCACAUUCUUAUGUCUCAAACUUAUAUGUCUAGACUUUUCAUUAUACACUUUAUUGUACGCUUGAGACAUGGUGGACUCACUAUCAUAAUAUACAAGAAUGGUGAACAUACGUUGUGGCUAAAACUUUAUAUCAAACAAUAAAUCUCUUAGCCAUUCUGCUUUCUUGUCGGUAGCAGCCAAGGCUAUAAAUUCAGCCUCUAUAUUUGAAUGUGAGAUGCAAGUUUGUUUCUUGGAGGCUCAACUAAUAACUCUACCUCUAAUCAUAAAAAUCCAUCCUGAUUUGGACUUAUUGUCACUUAGACUUGUAAUCCAACUUGCAUUCAAGUAAUCUUCUAGUAUCGCAGGAUAAUGACUAUAUAAAAAUUCCAAAUUUUUUGUUUUCUUAAGAUAGGCAAAAAUCCUACAAAUUCCGUUCCAAUGAUCAGUACUAGGAAAACUUGUAAAUCUUGCCAAUUUGCAUAUAAAAAAUGCAAUAUCGAGUCUAAUGCAAUGCAUUGCAUACAAUAGACUUCCAAUUGCACUGGCGUACUUAAGUUGAGCUAUAGCCUUACCAUUAUUCUCACUUAACUUGAAGUUUGAACCGAAUGGAGUGUUCGAAUCCUCGAAAUUCAAGUGUUUGAACUUUUUCAAUACUUUCUCGAUGUAGUGAGAUUAGCUUAGUGCAAAGUCACUUUCAUUCUUUUUCACCUUUAUACCUAAAAUUGUAUAUAACUCGUUGAGAUCUUUCAUCUUAAAACUUGAGGCUAGAUACUUUUUCGUCUCGCGAACGCCUUCCAUACUCGUCCCAAAAAUCAGCGAAUUGUUUACAUAUAGACAAAUAAUUACAUUGUACCUAUCGGUAAAUUUAGUGUAAAUACUUUUAUUCAUACUAUUAUGUAAAAAAACCAUAUUACAAGAAAAUCGAGUCUCAUGUCACUGUUUUGGCAUUUUUUUAAACCAUAUAAUGACUAGAUCAACUUACACACCUUAUGUUAAUUCCCAAAAAGCAUAAAGUUUUCUGGUUGCUCCAUGUAGACUUCCUCUUUGAGAUCACCAUUCAAAAAAGCUAUCUUAACAUCCAUCUAAUGUACAUAUAACUUAUGGAUAGAUGAAAGUGCCAUAAGAAUUUGAAUGGAAGUCAUCCUAGCCACUGAUGCAUAGGUGUCAAAAUAAUAUAGGUCUUUCUUUUGCCUAAAUCAUUUUGCCACCAACCUAGCCUUAAAGGUUGGGGAACCCCCUGAUGGAGUAUUCUUUCUUUUAAACACCCAUUUGCACCUAAUAGGAUUUGAUCCUUGAGGGAUAUCAACAAGAAUUCAAGUAUUGUUGGAGAAUAAAGCAUUCAUUUCAUCAUUGAUCGCCUCUUUCCAAAAUAUCGCAUCCCUAGGAGUCAUGUAUUCACCAUAGGAUUGUGGGUCACCAUCCACAUUAAACAUUAAGGGGAUAUUCUUAAUUAUGGAUUCUCUAUUUCCCUCAAUGAGGAAUGCUAGAGAUUGUGAGGAAAUAAAAUUGAGACCAAGUUCCUUAACUUUUCUCACUCUUUACUUUUCAUCAGGUCUGUAUGUAACAACCCGAUUUUAACUAAAUCGGAUCAAUGGUUUUGGGACCAAAAAUAUGGGGUUAUCAAAUUAUUUUAAUAUUAUUUUUGGUGUUUAUAGCAUGUGAAUAUAUAUGUAUAAAAAUUUCGCGAGCUAAUUUUAUCAUUUAAUAGCUUAAUUUGAGAAAAUGACUUAAUCGCGUAAAAUGCAAAGGUAGCAUGCUAUAAGUUAAAAGUGCUUAAUUGCUAUGGCUUAUUAAAUGAAAGGUCCUUAUGUUGUAAUUAGACCAUUGAUAGUGGAUAUGGACAUUAAUAACAUUAUAUUUGAUGAUUAAAUGGUUUAAUAACAAAGGGUAAAAUCGUAAAAUAUGCAUUAAGUUUUAAUAAAUAAAAGAAAAACAAUUUUAAAGCCUAAAUUAUCAUCAUAUUCCACCGAAAAUCAAAAGAAAAUAAAAGAUGGAAGCUCAUCUGGGGUUUGACACUUGUGUGGAUUAAUUGAGGUAUGUUUUGAGCUCGAUUCUUUUAUGAUUUCUACGUUUUUGUGAUCGUUGCUUCGUGUUCUAGCUAGCCCAUGUCUCAAUUUUUGAAAGUGUUGAUGAUUUUGAAAGUUACCGUUGAUGAAUUCAUGUGUUUUUGGAUGCUUGAUGAUGAAUUAUGAAAGCUUAGUGAUAAAUGUCUAAGUUUUGUAAAGUGAUUUUUGAUGAAAAUGUCAAUUAGGGAUUAAAUUGAGAAAAUGUGAAAUUUUGUGGUUAAAAGUGUGAAAUAAAUGAAAAUAUGGGUUGUUAUGAAGCUAUAGAGAAUUCGGCUAAGCAUGAGUCUUAUUGAAUUUUUGUGAAUUUGGUGUACUUCUAAAAUAAGGACUAAAUUGUAAAAAAUGUGAAAGUUUAGGGCCAAAGUGUAAAUUGGCUUAAAUAUGUGUUUGUGGAUGAAAUUGAAAAAUUAUAUGAUUAAAUUAUUUGAAUUUGUUAUAAUAUAGAUCAAAAAAAGAGGAACCCAUACUUAGAUCGAGGCAAGAACAAAGUACUCUAUUAAUCGACAAGUUUCGUCGUUUUUACAUCCAAGGUAAGUUCGUACAUGAUAAACAUUGUUACAAUUAUUUUUUAAUGCUUUAAUAUUGCAUAAAUUAUAUAUAUGAGACGAUGGUUGUGUACGACGAUGAAUCGAUUAUAUAUGGCACUUAGUGUGCAAAUCGGAAUAGCUUCGGCUAUAUAUGGCAGUUAAUGUGCAAGACUGAGAUAGCUUCGGCUAUAAAAGGCACUUAGUGUGCGAGAUUAUAAUACCUUUAACUAUGCUUUGGCACUUAGUGUGCGAGAUAUCGAGUAUUAGACAUUAUUACAAAAAGGUAUGAGUUCGAUAUGAAUUUAUACAUGUAUGUACAUAUAAAGCAUGAAAUCCAAAUAGAAGAAGUUAUGAACUUGUUCAUAGACACUUGAGUGAGUAUGAGGAAAGUUUGUUGGUCAUCAUGAUUUAGAUAUUAAUUAGUAUGAAUUGAUGAUUUGUAUAUUAUGAACUGUUGAGUAUAUUUAAUACGAACUUGCUAAGCUAUAAAGCUUACUCUGUGUUAUUUGUUUAUGUUUUAUAGAGAAUCAAAGCUAACUUGGACUCGAGAAUUAUUAGGAAGCGUCAUCAUACUAUCGAUCAUUUUGUUGGUACUUUUGAAGCUUUGUAUAUAUGGUAUAUGACAUGUAUAGGCUAGCAUCAUCUUAGUAUGUUUUGAGUUAUGAUUUUAGCCAUGAGAUUUGGCUUGCAAAUGUUGGCGUGCAUGGCCAUUUAAGUUGGCUUGAAUUAUGUGUUUGAUAAAUGUUAUAUGUGAUGAAUAUAAUGCUUUAUGUGUUAGGUUGUUUGGAAUGGUUAUAUGGUUGCUCUUUUGGAUAGUUAUAAGUUGUGGUAUUAUUGCUUGGAAGUUGGCAUAUUGUGGAUUGAUUGAGAUGAUGAUAUGGUGUGUUAUGUGUCUUGAAUUAGAGGAUAAGUUGAUGAGUAAAUGCAAUUAUAAGUUAUGUUUGUAACAUCCCAAAUUAAGGCCUAGUAGGAAUAGUGGUUUCAAGACCACAAAAUCGACAUAAAAAUAUUUAUUUUAUAAUUUUUUUGAGGUCUGGGACAUGAAAGCAUGCAUGUGUGAAAGUUUCAUAAAUAAAAUCUAAGUGUAGGGUGUCCAAUUUAAAAAUUAGGGACCAAAUCGAAUAAAUUGCAAAACUUGUGUUCUAGAAGCAAUUUGUAUGAAAUUGCUUUGGAUUAUUAAUUAGGAGGUUUUAAAUAGCAAUUUGCCCAAAUUCUAAGUUUUUGGACAAAAAUGGGCAUGGAUAGAAAAUUUUGAAAGUUUAGUACGGAAGGACAUUUUGGUCAUUUAGUAAUAAAUGAAAUGAAAAGGGGAAAUCAAAGCAAAAUUCACUCAUUUUCUUCCUUAUGGCUGCCGAUAUUUUCAUGGGUUUCAUAAGCUAGAGUUUUGACAUUUUCAAGCCUGGUAGUAAGUGACUCCUAGCCCCGUUUUUAACGUUCUUUACAUUUUUGAGAUCCUCGUAACAUGCUCUAUCCAUUUCUACCCAUAUUUCAAGCUAGGGUUGAUAUUAUAAAUUUGACCCAUGCAUGAGAUGAUUGUUCUUUGAUGAUAUAUGGAGGAUUAUGAAAGUUAGAUGUUAGAUAAAAAUCUUUUACUAGAUGAUUUUUCAUGAAAACACUAAAAAGGGGCCUAUUUGUAAAAGGUACAAAAUGGGUGGUAGAAGUGUGAAAUAGAAGAAAAUUAUGGACUGAUAUGAGCUUAGAAUAGAUUCGGAUAGGGUGGGGUAACCAAGAAAAUGCAUGCAUUUCAUUUUACGAGCAUUAGGCCCAAAUUGUAAAAAAUGUUAAAGGUUAGGGGUAAUGUGGUCAUUUUGCCCAAGAGUGAAAUUUUGGGCUGAAUUUGAAUAAUGAGAUAGAAUAAUAAUUUAUUUUGUUUAUAUAGACCUAGAGAGACCAAUUCUAGAGGUUGACCGUGGAAAACAAAAGGUUUCGGAAUAACCGAAAUCAAAUCCGAAACAUCUUCCAAGUAAGUUCAUGUAACUCGAAGUAAUAAUUUUAAAAUACUUAAAUGUAUAUUCUUGAAUGUGAUAUCAAUUUUGAUACUCAAUGUAUAAUAAUUCAUGAAACAUGAUUGUAUUGAUUUAAAAAAGAUUUAAAUAUCUCGGUUGAAUGAAAAGGGUAUCCGAUGGAAUUCUUGAAAAUGAAUUGACGGUAAAAAGGACCUAACCCGGACGAGUGUUCCUUAUGUGAUCUGGCCUCCCGAAGAAUAUGUGUUUUAAAUGGAUUUAGCCCAGACAGGUAGUCCGAAUUAGGAUUUGAAUUUAGCCUGGACUAGUAAUUCAGAUCCAAGCUCAUUAGAGUAUUUGUCGUUGCAGGGGAUUUAUCCUGGACUAGUAAAUCCCAACAUUACUCUAUGAGUUUAUACUACGAGGGAUUUAGCCUAGACUGGUAAUCCCGCCGUAAAAGAAUGAGGUUCACAGGAAUGCGCUCAUUGAAAAGGUCACUAAUAUGAAUUGAUGAUAAAUGAUUUAGUACGCUAUAAGUGUACUAAAGAAUAUUCAUCGAGAUUCUGAGAAAUUCAACGAGAUUAGUAUGAGAAGUGGAAUUAAGAUUUUUGUUAUGACGAGCUCAUCUACUGAUUGUUUAUUAUCAUAUAUUACUAUGUGUCUAACUUGAUGAUUGAGUACAUGUGUUAGGGAAAAUAUUCUAUACUUGAUGGAUUGCCUAUUUAAUGUAGUUGUAUGUUAAAAUAAUCGGUAAGUUUACUUUCUUGUUAUAUGGACUUAUUGAGCAUGUCAAUGCUUACCCCAUUUUAGUUUUUUCCUAUUUUAUAGAGCUCGUGGACUCAUGGAGCUUGGAAGAUGGUGGGAGCCUUGGUCACACUAUCAACAAGUCUCAUUUUGGUAUAAACAAACAUUCAUUUUGAUAUAAUGGCAUGUAUAGGAUUUUUGAUCAUUUUUUUAUAUGUGUCAUUUGGUCAGCCAAAGAAAUGGCUUAUGAAGAUAUGCUAAUUCAUUUUUUAUACGGCCAUGAGAUGUGGCUCAUAUUGAUAUGGGUGGUAACCCUACUAAAUAUACAUGUUUAAGUUUAAAUGUUUCUUGCGAUGUGAUUGUAUAGUCUAGCAUGAAUGGAUGUGUAAAAUGAGGUCCAAUAACUUGAGAAUGGUUAUGGCAUAAAAUGGUUUGUGGUUAUAUCAUGGCCUAAGUACAAAAUGUGGAAUGUGCUAAUGAUAACCCUAAUACAAAAAGUGUAACCUGAACAAGUCUAAUAAGGUUUACAUGUAUAAAUCAUGUCAAGGAUGUUUAAGUGUAAUUAUAUCCCAUGUUAAGUGUCCUUGAAGUAUAUGAGUGUGUAUGGAUGUAAAAGGGUGACCAAAGGCUUGGAAAAUUGCCCCCAAAACGUGUGGUUCUCUUAACCACUUUCUUAGGGACUGCCCGAAACGUGUUGAUUGAGAGGUUUCACCAGCCCUGAAAUUGAGUGCUCCAAUCUCCCAAGGUAGACCUCCACGACAUCCCCGAAAGUACUAGCAGUAGUGAAUUGUUGGAAAGGAUUCUACUACAAAAUCAGAGGCUUGAGCCCCAGCGAGAACUUAUGUUAAACGCACUAGAGUGGAAGCCUUAUCUCCUGAUGUCAUAACGGGUACAUUUUCUCUUCAUAAUGUCCAUGUUAUUCCCUUGAUUGACCCGAGAUUAACCCAUUCAUAUAUUUGCAUGAAAUUGGUGUCUAGCAUGAAUAUGUAUGUGGAGCCUACGAAAUUUAUGAUUAAUGUAUAGGACCCUCUAGGCAAGUUAAUGUUAGUAGAUAAAGUUUAUAAGAAUUGUCCUUUGAUGAUUCAAGGUCAUUGUUUUCCGGCUAACCUUAUGCUUUUGCCAUUCGACGAGUUCGAUGUAAUACUUGAUAUGGAUUGGUUGACUGUUCAUGAGGUGAUUGUAAAUUGUGGUAGCAAGCAUAUUAAUUGAAAUGCUCAGAUGGUGAGAUUCUUCGGGUUGAUUCAAAUGAGUUGAAUGCACCGCCGGUUGUGAUUACCUCAAUGUUCGCUCAAAGGUAUAUGAGAAAAGGGUACGAAGCUUACCUUGCUUUUGUAUUGAAUACUAAAGAAUCUGAGUUGAAGAUUGAGUCGGUAUCGAUAGUCUAUGAAUAUCUAGACGUGUUCCCAGAAGAGCUACCCGAAUUACCUCCUGUUAGAGAAGUGGAGUUUGGUAUUGAGUUAGUUCCAGGAACGAUGCCUAUUUCUAUUGCCCCAUACAGGAUGGUCCCGACUAAGUUGAAGGAGUUAAAAUCACAGUUGCAAGAAUUGACUGACAAAGGUUUCACAAGACCAAGCUUUUCACCUUGGGGUGUUCCUGUAUUAUUCGUGAAAAAGAAAAAUGGUUCGAUAAGGUUAUGUAUAGGCUACCGACAACUCAACAAGGUAACUGUCAAGAACAAGUAUCCUAUGCCAAGGAUUGAUGACAUGUUCGAUCAAUUGAGGGGAGCCACCAUGUUUUCAAAGAUAAAUCUGAGAUCCGGCUACUACCAGUUGUGAGUUAAAGAGUCGACGUGCCUAAGACUGCCUUCAAGACAAGGUAUGGUCACUACGAGUUCCUUGUCAUGCCUUUUUGUCUAGCAAAUGCCACAGCUGCGUUUAUGGAAUUAAUAAAUCAUGUUUUUUUACCAUACUUGGACAAGUUUGUUGUGGUAUUCAUCGACAAUAUUUUGAUUUAUUCUCGUAAUGAGUCCAAACAUACCGAACAUUUAAGUACCAUUUUGCAGACUUUACGAGACAAGCAAUUAUAUGCUAAUUUUAGCAAAAGUGAAUUUUGGCUUCGAGAGGUAGGAUUCUUGGGUCACAUUGUGUCGAGUAAUGGCAUCCGAGUUGAUCCAAAUAAGAUUUCUGCUAUUGUCGAGUAGAAGCCGCCAAAGAAUGUAACUGAGGUUAAAAGCCUCUUAGGUUUAGUAGUUUACUACCGACGCUUUGUAAAGGGAAUUUCUAUGAUUGCAACUCCCUUAACGAGGUUGCUGCAAAAAGAUGUUAAAUUUGAGUGGUCAGAAAAAUGUCAGCAAAGUUUUGAGAAAUUAAAGACAUUGCUGACAGAAGCUCCAGUUUUAGUGAAACCCAAGCCAGGAAAAGAAUUCGUGGUCUAUAGUGAUGCGUCCUUGAAUGGACUGGGUUGCGUGCUUAUGCAAGAAGGAAAAAUGAUAGCCUAUGCUUCGAGACAAUUAAAGUCGCACGAGAAAAAUUAUCCAACACAUGACUUGGAGCUAGCUGCCAUUGUUUUUGCCUUGAAGAUUUGGAGACACCAUUUGUAUGGUGAAACUUGCCGCGUAUUCACCGAUCACAAAAUUUUGAAGUACUUGAUGACUCAAAAAGAAUUGAAUUUGAUACAACGGAGAAGGUUAGAAUUGAUUAAAGAUUAUGAGCUGAUAAUUGACUAUCACCCAGGAAAGGUGAACGUGGUCGCCGAUGCCUUGAGUAGGAAGUUCUUGUUUACUUUGAGGGUUAUAAGCACACGAUUGGCGUUGUCUGAUGAUGGUUCGAUUUUGGCAGAGUUAAGAGCCAUACCGACAUUUCUCCAAGAAAUUUGCGCAGCUCAGAUCAAUGAUAUUGACUUGCAAGUCAGGAGAGCACAACGUGAGACGGGUGUUGAAUCAAAUUUUCGAAUUGGUUUCAAUGGUUGCUUGAUAUUUCAAGAUAGGGUCUGUAUACCCAAAGAUAGUGAACUUAUUCAGAAAAUUUUUCAAGAGGCACAUGAUAGUCGUUUUUUAUUAAUCCGGGUAGUACCAAGAUUUACAAUGACUUAAAGACAAUGUACUGGUGGAAUGGCAUGAAAAGAGAUAUCUCUAAAUUUGUAUCAAACUGCUUGAUAUGUCAACAGGUCAAGGCUGAACACCAAGUACCUUCGGGCUUGUUACAACCUAUGAUGGUCCCCGAAUGGAAGUGGGCCAGGAUUACUAUGGAUUUCCUGACAAGGUUGCCUUUGAGACCGAAAAAUAAAGACACUAUUUGGGUUGUGGUUGAUAGGCUGACAAAGUCGGGUCACUUUAUUCCAGUACGAACUAACUACUCACUUGAUAAAUUGGUUGACAUGUAUAUUUCUGAGAUUGUGAGAUUACACGGGGUACCAUUGUCGAUCAUCUCAGAUAGGGACCCAAGAUUUACUUCGAGAUUUUGGAAGAAACUACAAGAAGCUUUGGGUACAAGUUUGAGCUUUAGCACGGCUUUCCACCUGCAGACUGAUCGGACGAUUCAGAUUCUUGAGGACAUGUUACAAUGUUGUGUUCUUGAGUUUCAGAGUAGUUGGGAAAAAUACUUACCAUUGGUGGAGUUCACCUACAACAAUAGUUUCUAGAUGAGUUUGAAAAUGGCAUCUUAUGAGGCAAUUUAUGGCAAAAAGUUUCGAACUCCAUUGUUUUGGACAGAACUCAAAGAACACCAGAUUCAUGGAGUUGACUUAAUAAAGGAAACUAAAGAAAAGGAUAAGGUGAUACGUGAUUCCUUGAAAGUGGCAUUGGAUAGGAAAAGUCAUAUGCUGAUUUGAAAGGAAAAGAGAUUGAAUUUCAAGUUGGAGAUAAAGUAUUCUUGAAAAUGUCUCCAUGGAAAAAGGUUUUUAUAUUUGGCCGGAAAGGCAAAUUGAGUCCUCGGUUUAUUGGACUAUAUGAGAUUACCAUGACAGUUGGACAAUUAGCCUACUGAUUAGCCUUACCAUCCAAACUGGAAAAGAUUUAUGACGUAUUCCAUGUAUCCAUGCUGUGAAGAUAUAGGUCAGACCCCUCCCAUGUGAUUUCACUGGUGAAAGUUGAUAUUAGAUCGGACAUGACUUAUGGUGAAGAAUCGAUUAGGAUUUUGGCUCGAGAAGUUAAACAGUUGAGGAAUAAGAAUACUGGUAAAAGUGUUGUGGCAUAGGCAUGGAGUUGAAGAAGCUACAUGGGAGCCCGAGGAGGCUAUGAGAAUCCUAUAUCCAAACUUAUUUUUCGAAAAGACUUUUGAGGACGAAAGUCCCUAAGGGGGGAGAAUUGUAACAUCCCAAAUUACGGCCUAGUCAGAAUAGUGGUUUUUGGUCCACAAACCCAACAUAAAAAUAUUUUUUUUAUGAUUGUUUUGAGGUCUAGGACAUAAAAGCAUGCAUUUGUGGAAGUUUCAUAAAAAAAUAUAUAGGUGUAAGGUGUCCAAUUUAAAAAUUGGGGACCAAAUCGAAUAAAUUGCAAAACUUGUGUUCUAGAAACAAUUUGUAUGAAAUUGCUUUAGAUUAUUAAUUAGGAGGUUUUAAAUAUAAAUUUUCCCAAAUUCUAAGUUUUUGGACAAAAAUGGGCAUGGAUGGAAAAAUUUGAAAGUAUAGUAAGGAAGGGUAUUUUGGUCAUUUAGUAAUAAAUGAAAUAAAAAGGGGAAAUCAAAGCAAAAUUCACUCAUCUUUUUCCUUGUGACUGCCAAAAUUUGCAAGGGUUUCAUAAGCUAGGGUUUUGACAUUUGCAAGCUUGAUAGUAAGUGACUCCUAGCCCCGUUUUUAACGUUCUUUACAUUUUUGAGAUCCUCGUAACAUGCUCUAUCCAUUAAACACCAAAAUAUAUGCAUGUCACACAUGGGUAAGUUUUUGAACAUAAACCCUAGCUCAAAAUAAUGGUAGAAAUAGCUAGAUCAUGCUUCAAAGAUCUCAAAAACAUAAAGAAUAUUAAAAACGGGGCUAGGGUGUACUUCCAAUCGAGCUUGAAAGGAUGAAAAAAACCCUAGCUACGGCUCUUUGAGAAUUUCGGCUAAGGGAGGAAGAUGGACACAAUUUGGACUUAUUUUUCCCUUUUUAUUCUUUUAUUAACCAAAUGACAAAAAUGCCCCUAAGGCCUUUCUUUCAAAUUUUUCCUAUCCAUGCCCAUUUUUGUCUAUAAAAAUAGAAAUUAGGCAAAUUGCUAAUUAUGGACCUCUAAUUAACAAUCCAUGGAAAUUUCAAGCUUAAAGCUUCUAGAACUCACAUUUUGCAACUUUUGUAAUUUAGUCAUAGAUAUCAAAUUGAACACUUUAUCAAUAGAAUUUCUUCAUGAAACUUUCACACAAGAAUGCAAUCAUAUCAUAAACAUCAAAAGAAUCAUAAAAUAAUUAUUUCUAUUUCAAAUUUGUGGUCUUAAAACCACUGUUCUCACUAGACCCUAAUUUAGGAUGUUAUAGUCUGAGUUAGAAAAGAUUCAUAAUGUAUUUCAUGUAUCGAUUCCCCGACGAUACUGAUCCGAUCCUUCACAUAUUAUUUCUCUGACAAAAGUUUAAAUUCAAUCAGAUUUGUCGUAUAGUGAAGAACCGAUCCGAAUUCUAGCUCGUGAGAUCAAAGAGCUCACAAAUAAGAAAAUUGCAUUAGUGAAAGUAUUGUGGCAUCGAUACGGGGUUGAAGAAGCUACGUGGGAACCCAAGGAUGCUAUGAGAAAGCAAUAUCUAAACCUAUUCACUGUAAGAUUUUCGGGGAUGAAAAUCCCUAAGGGGGAUAGUUGUAACAGCCCGGUUUUAGCUAAAUCAGAACAGUGGUAUCGGGACCACAAAUCUGAGGUCAUAAAAUUAUUUUAAUAUUAUUUUUGGUGUUUAUAGCAUGAUAAUAUAUAUGUGUAAAAAUUUCGUGACUAAUUAUUUCGUUUAAUAGUUUAAUUUGAGAAAAGGACUUAAUCGCGUAAAAUGCAAAAGUAGCAUGCUAUAAGUUAAAAGUGCUUAAUUGCUAUGGCUUAUUAAAUGAAAGGUACUUAUGUUGUAAUUAGACCAUUGAUAGUGGAAAUGGACAUUAAUAACCUUAUAUUUGAUGAUUAAAUGGUUUAAUAACCAAGGGUAAAAUGGUAAAAGAUGUAUUAAGUUAGAAAAAAUAAAAGAAAAACAAUUUUAAAGCCUAAAUUAUCAUCAUCUUCCACCUAAAAUCAAAAUAAAAUAAAAGAUGGAAGCUCAUCUAGGUGUCGGCACUUGUGUGGCUUAAUUGAGGUAUGUUUUGAGCUCAGUUUUUGAUGAUUUCUACAUUUUUGUGAUCAUUGCUUCGUGUUCUAGCUAGCCCAUGUCUCAAUUUUUGAAAGUGUUGUUGAUUUUGAAAGCUACCAUUGAUGAUUUCAUGUGUUUUUGGAUGUUUGAUGAUGAAUUAUGAAAGCUUAGUGAUAAAUAUCUAAGUUUUGUAAAGUGAUUUUUGAUGAAAAUGUCAAUUAGGGAUUAAAUUGAGAAAAUGUGAAAUGUUGUGGUUAAAAGUGUGAAAUAAAUGAAAAUAUGGGUUGUUAUGAAGCUAUAGAGAAUUCAUCUAAGCAUGAGUCUUAUUGAAUUUUUGUGAAUUUGGUGUAUUUAUGAAAUAAGGACUAAAUUGUAAGAAAUGCAAAACUUUAGGGCCAAAGUGUAAAUUGGCUUAAAUAUGUGUUUUUGGAUGAAAUUGAAAGAUUAUGUGAUUAAAUGAGUUGAAUUUUUAUAAUAUAAAUCAAGAAAAGAGGAACCCAAACUUAGAUCGAGGCAAGAACAAAGUACUCGUUAAUUGACUAGUUUUGUCGUUUUUACGUCUGAGGUAAGUUCGUACGUGAUAAACAUUGUUACAAUUAUGUUUUUAAUGCUUUAAUAUUGCAUAAAUUAUAUAUAUGAGACGAUGGUUGUAUACGUCAAUGAAUCGAUUAUAUAUGGCACUUAGUGUGCGAAUCGAAAUAGCUUUGGCUAUAUAUGGCACUUAGUGUGUGAAUCGGAAUAGCUUCAGCUAUAUAUGACACUUAGUGUGCAAGACUAAAAUAGUUUCGGCUAUGAAAGGCACUUAGUGUACGAGAUUAUAAUAGCUUCAGCUAUGCUUUGGCACUUAGUGUGCGAGAUAUUGAAUAUUCGACAUUAUCACAAAAAGGUAUGAGUUCAAUAUGAAUUUAUACAGGUAUGUACAUAUAAAGCAUGAAAUCCAAAUAGAAGAAGUUAUGAACUUGUUCAUAAACACUUGAGUGAGUAUGAGGAAAUUUUGUUGGUCACUAUGAUUUAGAUAUUAAUUAGUACGAAUUAAUGAUUUGUAUAUUAUGAACUGUUGAGUAAAUUUAGUAUGAACUUGCUAAGCUAUGAAGCUUACUAUGUGUUAUUUGUUUAUGUUUUAUAGAGAAUCAAAGCUAACUUGGGCUCGGGGAUUAUUGGGAAGCGUCAUUAUACUAUCUAUCAUUUUGUUGGUACUUUUGAAGCUUUGUAUAUAUGGUAUAUGGCAUGUAUAAGCUAGUGUCAUCUUAGUAUGUUUUGAGUUAUGAUUUUAGCCAUAAGAUUUGGCUUGUAAAUGUUGGUGUGUAUGGCUAUUUAAGUUGGCUUGAAUUAUGUGUUUGAUAAAUGUUAUAUGUGAUGAAUAUAAUGCUUUAUGUGUUGGCUUGUUUGGAAUGGUUAUAUGGUUGCUCUUUUGGAUAGUUAUAAGUUGUGGUAUUAUUGCUUGGAAGUUUGCAUAUUUGGAUUGAUUGAGUUGAUGAUAUGGUGUGUUAUGUGUCUUGAAUUAGAGGAUAAGUUGGUGAGUAAAUGCAAUUAUAAGUUAUGUAAGUUUUUGAUGAUUUUGGUAUAUUGAAUUGGUAUGUUUUUUUAUUAUGAUUGCAUAAAUGUAUAUAAAUGAUGUGUAUUAUCAGGUAAUGCUUCGUAACCUUAUUCCGGUGACGGAUACGAGUUAAGGGUGUUACACCGUAUCCUUAUUGUCUUAAGGACUUCUCUUAGUUUGAUCACUUGAAAUCAUUGGUUGAUAUUCUUUUUUCGAUUCUGUUGAAUCAUCGAAAAAUUUAUUUUCAAUGAAUACAACAUCUCUUGUUUCAAUUAUCGUGUUUGACACUAAGUUAAGAAUAGGGUAAGCCUUAAAGUGUUGGGCAUAUCCAACAAAUACACCCUUGACGGCUCUUGGUCCCAACUUCAUUCUCCUUUGGUUGGAAACUCUAUAGUAAGCCAAACACCCCCACAUUUUGAAAUAAUAUAAGUUUGGCAUCUGACCCUUUCAUAACUUAUAUGGAGAUACUUUGAAUUUUCUCGAUGGUAUUCUGUUAAGGAUAUAACACGCAGUCAAUAAUACUUCACCCCAUAGAUUAUAUGGAAGUUUAGUGUUUAACAAUAUCGAGUUAACCAUAUCCAUGAAAGUAUGGUUCUAUCUUUCCGCCAAUCCAUUUUGUUGCGGAGUAUAAGGUGUGGAACACUCAUGUACCACACUUUGUUCCUCAAAAAAUAUAUUAAAUUCAUUUCAAAAAUAUUCACCACCUCUAUCACUAUGAAGCACUUUGAUUUUCUUACUAUACAAAUUCUCAACCUCAUUUUUAAAACGUUUAGACAACAUAUCAAAAAUCUCAUCUUUACUUCUCAUGAGAUACAUAUAAGUAAAUCUAGAGAAGCCGUCUAUAAAAGUGAUAAAAUAUCGUUUUUCACAUCUUGUUAGAAUUCUAUUUAAUUCACAAACAUCCGAAUGGAUUAAAUCUAACACUUGUGAAUUUCUUUCACACUUAUUAGGAAAUAGUUUCUUGGUAAUUUUUUAUUGAAUACAAACUUCAAAUUUAUCCACAAACUCACCAUUACUUAGAUAAUAUAACCAUUCUUUUGCUGUAGUAAAGUUUUAAAAUUAAAAUGAGCUUGACGCGCAUGCCAUAAAGGAUAAGAUUCAACAAUAUAAGCAGAAGAAUUGGCUUUCUUCAUAUCAAUGCUCAACUUGGACAUGCCCUCAUUACAAUAUCCUUUUUCUACAUAUAUAUCACCCUUAAGCAAGACUAACUUAUUGGAUUCCAAGAUAACCUUGAACCUCUUGUUACAUAAAAGACUCGCAGACACUAAAUUCUUUCUCACAUCGGGAAUUGAUCAAGGUCAAUUUCUUCUCGGAUGUGACGUUCAGUUCCAUUGUUCCUUGAUCGAGCACCUUAACCGAUUAAUAGUUACCCAUAAGCACUUCACGGUUUGCCACUAGUUCAUAACUCUUGAAUUUUUGUCAGUCAUUACACACAUGGACAGUAGCUCCGGAGUCGAGCCACCAAUUAUAGGACUUAUCGGUCAUGGCUAUAUUGAGUUUGGUAAUCAUACCAAUCUUCAAACUCUCGAUCUCUUCCAUAACCAUGGCCACUAAGUCUAUGUCCUCCACUAUAUUGGCUUUAGAAGUUGUGGCAUCUUGCUUCUUUUUGAGAAGUUUACAAUCCUUAAUGUAGUGUCAUUUUUUAUUGCAAUUAUAGCAAUUGCGAGAUUUUUCUUCUUGUCUUGCAUGUGUUUCGAGAGUUCUUAGACUCGCUCACAUGGUUCACUUUAGAACUUUAAAGAAGAUUCACCGCGUCACACUUUCGAGUUUCCUUUUCAAUAUGCCAAUGCCUAAGUAUUUACUCCACAUUGAAGUCCUCUGUCAUAUGCAGAAGUUUCUUCCAAUAAUUGUUCCAAGACAAAGGAAACUUCAAUAUGAUAACCCCGACUUGUAACAAUUCUGGAAUAACAACUUUCAAGUCACGAAACCUGCUUACAAGGACUUGUAGUUCAUGAUCAGGAUACUAUCAAGCAUUUUGAAUUCGAAAUACUUCAUCAUUAAAAAUUUAUCAGUACAUUAUCGCUUGGUGUUGUCUUGCUCUUCAAGAGCUUUCCAUAUUUCCACCAAGGAUUGCAUCAACAUGUAAAGAUCAUAUAAUCAGUUAGAUAAGGUGUUGAGGAUGUGUCCAUAAAAUGUGAAAUUCUCUUCCUCACGCUUUUUCUUGAGUUCGGCCACUUUCGUAAUUUCUUCAGGGUUUGUAUUGGGCGUGGGAUCCUCCACUAGUUAUAGGUUUGGAUCCAGAACGUAUACCACAUUCAAGAUGGUAAGAAGGAACAACAUCUUAUCCUUUCAACGAUUGAAGUUUGAGCCAUUAAAUCGAUCAGGUUUCACAAACUCUUGGUUGAUCACUUUGAAUGCGGUGGUAGCCUCCGUCACCAUCUUCAAAAUUGUUCUCUUUUAUUGUUUAGGUAUUUGAGUGGGGAAGAUAGAUCCAGAGACGAUGCUGAAUUAAACAAUAGAUUUCGGGGUACAGAUGAUGCAUUCUAAAUAGAAUAAUUUUCCUCCACACAAAGUUGCUAGAAGGUUAAGACAAAGGUCCUCCUAAGAUACAACAAAGCUUUUUUAUUUCCUUUGGUUAGAAAAAUUGAGGAAUUCCCUAUCUCUUACUCUAAUUCCUAAAACUGGAUUGAUUGUAAUGAUCAUCUUUUAAGCACCAUAGUCCUUCUAUUUAUAUGCACUCAAUGGAUAUAUUGAAGAGCCACAACCCUUCGUAUUAGACAUAGUUCUUAGAAGAAACAUGUCCCAUGAAAAUUAAAUGUAUCUAUUGAAUAAAUCAUCACUUUCUAAUUUCAGUAAGUGCUCAAGAAUAGUGAAUUUGCAAUCUACAAAUUUUCAAUAGUUACCAGGGUAAUUAAUGUAAAUCCUAAGGGAUAAAGAUGUAUAGAGUUCAAAUCUCUUAGUACUCUCAUCUUGUAGAUACACAUUAAUCUUAACCGUUGAUAUAAAUCGAUUUGUACUGUUGGAUUUGAGGGAGCUCAACUAUAGAUAGAGGUCCCCCUUCAUUUGUAAUCACUUCAUUCUUUCUAAGUUAAUAUAUUGAGAGUAUUUACUCAAACACUUGGUGUACACUCUCUUUCUAUGUCUAGUGUACACUCUCUUUCUGUGUCUUUCUUUAGUUCAUUCGUAGCUUUUUUUACUUUCAGAGUUUGCAUCAGAUUUGCUUCGGUGCCUUAGAGAAAUUCUGCAAGAAUUCUCACUUUUCGAGGGGAAUGUUGACUUAGGUAGAUUUGAAGCGAAGAGAUUGUCUAAGACUGCACGGAUUGUGAGACGAAAGGUGUAUCUCCGUGACACUAGGAAGGUGAUCAUAAAUUCUAAAAAUGACCUCAUAAAAAUACAAAUUUGAUUACUUCUAACAUUUUUUAGCAAUAUUUAUUAUUAACAAACAAGUAAUUUAAUCUAUUUAUUUUUAAUGAUAUUAAUUUGUUUUAAAUAAAAAUAAACUAAUAUCUUUGACUCAGUAAUAUAUGAUUAGAUUUAAAAUAAAAUGUAAAUAUUUUAUUUGUAUUAAAUUAGAAUAUAAUUAAAAUUUGAAUUCAAUAUUUUUUAAAAUAAUUUUAAAUUAAAUAAGUUUUAUGAUUUUGUGGUUAAAAGUAUUGCAAGAAAAUAAUGAAAAUAAACAAAUAAGAAAAAAAUGUAAUUUAUAUGAAAGAUAAAUUUAAACUUUUUGAUCACAUGAAAAAACUUACUUUCACACCAAUAUAUAAAGGAAUCAUAUUCCUAUCAUUGAAAGAAAGUUACAAUGUUAAGAAAGUAAAUAGUUUUUAACAUAUUAAAUAUAUUAAAUUCACGUCUUUUUAGUUGAUUGGUCUUGAAUUUUUAUUGAUAGUGAAUCUCAUAAUCAAAUCUAAAACAAUUUGUUCCCUUAUUUUUAUUUUUUUUAAAUAAGCUUAUGUGUUAAAAUAUCCCUAUAAAAUAAUUUAAAAAAUUAAUUGAUUACAAUUUUUAAUUAAAAUUUAAUUGAUUUUUUAAUAAUUUUAAAAGAACAUUUUUAGCAUUCAAGCUUUAAAACAACACUUUAUACCUUAAUUGAGUAUUUAUUUGUCUCAUGAAUAAUUUAGGUUGAAAUCAUCCUUAUAUAUAAAAUAAUAAAGAAAUUGUUUAAGAAACACUUUGUUAAACAUUUAUUGCAACUAUUUUUUAUUCUUUUUCUUUUUAAAAUUCUCAUUCGGAUGAUAAAACCAAGUUUAAAAAUUCAUUAAUUAGUUCAUAACUUGCACUUUUGAUACGUAUAUCUAAUAGCUUGCACUUUUCAUCCAAAUUAAAAUUUUGUUCAUUUUUCUAUUCUAAUAAAUAAUUAGUUAGUAUUUAGUAUAUUGAGAGUGUUUUUUUUUUAAUUUUUAAUUUUCUUAAUAUUUGAUUAUACUUCUAUAGAAAAUUUGUCAAUCUUAACCUCGUCUCCAUUAAUAGUGUAGAAAAUAAUUUCCUAUAAUCAACUUCUAUCUCAAACUUAUAACUGCUAAGAAUCUGAAAUGAUAUAAUUAUUGAUUUAUUAGAAAAACUUUAAUUAGACUCAAACAAAAGAUAAAAAAAAAAUCAAAUCCAAGUUAAUUUUAAAGGAUGGUAAUUUGAAUUAUGGAUUUAAAAAUAUGUAGAUAUUCAAUUAGUUUUUAUGGAUUUAGAUAAUAGUCGGAUUUAAAUUAUUUAAAAUAAUUAUUUAUUACAUAUUUGAAAAGAGAUACAAAUAAAUACUCCAGAUAUUAUUAUCUAGAUUUGUAUUAGACAUAGAUAUUUGAAUCCACCUUAUAACUUUUAUUUUAUAUAUAAAUAAAAAAAGAUUUUAGCGAAAUUGAAUUCAAUUUUUUACGGAUUUAAAUAUCCUAUUACUUGAAUAAUAAAUAAAUUUACAUAUUAAUUUUAAAAAAAAUACAGAUUCCGAUUCCUAAACAUAAAUGAUUGGAAGUCAAAAUCAAGUGGAGUGAGAUAGAUGGCAAUAAUGAUGGAGUUGCGAGAGACGCGGUUUCCAAAUUUCCAAUUGGGAUUUGAGGUUGUUGGUGUUGAAGUUGAUUAGACCUAAAGGCAAGUUUGUUUGGUUUCGUAAUUUUCCAUAUUUCCGUAUCAGAAUGAUUUGCAUUUGCAUCCCUCCUUUCUACUUUUUGUUUUGACUUCAAUUUAUGCAAAUGCCAUUGCGUAUACAAACUCCUCACAAUACACUUCACAUUUCUAUUAUUAUAUUGCUUAAUUUCUAUUAAUACUCUUGUAUUUUUAAUCAUUCUACUUUUUCAAAGCUAUUAAAUUUAUUAAGUUUUGUUGUCUUUCAAAUUUUAUACGACUAAUGGGGUCUAAAUGAGCCGUGCCCAAUUACUGGUAAGCUUGAGCUCAACUCAAAAUUUGGACAUCUAUUUUUUAAGCUAGAACUAGACUCGAGAUAUUAUCAAGCUUGAUAAUGCUCUAGAAUAACGUAUUUUUAUGUAUUAAUCAUGUGUUUAUUCUGGGCUUGAUCCUACUAAUUUGAGCUAUUUAUGUCUUUUUAUCGAUUAGAGACUGAUUUGGAGGCAAAAGCAAAAUUAAGGGACAAAAGUGCGAAUUUGGAGACACAAUGAGCUGAUAUGCGAUGCAGGAAAAAGAUUAUGCCAAAAGUACAAGCAUGGAAGACACAAGGAAUAAAAACGCAAAACGAAGAGAUUUUAUUUUAUAAGAUUCCAUUUUAUUAGGAUAAUUAAUAUUAAGAUAAUUAUUAGGAUUAUUUAAUUUUAGGAUUUUAUUUUAAUUAUCUUUAUUUAUACUUAAUUAAUUGUAUUUAUCUUUUUAGAAUUUAAGUUAAAUUAGACUAUCUCCCUAGCACAAUAAAUAGUGGGUGAAGUGACUCUAUUGGUGUUUAUCUUUUUCUAUAAACACUUUCCCCCUAAAAGUCUAGGCUUUUGUUUCUUCAUAUUUUCUUUCAAUAAAAUUCCCUUUUUCAUUUUUAUAUUUAUUUUCUUUUCCACCAUUAUCAUGAGCCACUAAAACCUAUCUAGCCGAAAGUUGUCAAUAUUCCCCAAAAAGGGUUCUUGAGGCUUAGAAUCCGUACUUAGCCUUCUCGCCAAGUAUUCAUCGUUUCUUCGCACUACGGGCUGACGCUUCCGUCCAUGGCCCUUAAGAAGUAAGCUUUUCAGCAUAUGCAAAGGCGGCCGCUUUGUAUGUUUUGGAAGGAUUGCAUAGUCGGUUCGUAAUCUUACUGCGUUAGAGGUUGGCGAGCCAAAGAGACGAAAUGGCGUGGGAUUCGCCAUUGAGAAGCGUUAUUCUAGCAUAGAUUAUUAGCUAGAGUCAGGUUCCCUAAAAAUUGUAAGUCUAAUCUUUGGAGCUAGUGGUCGUAGGCGUCCUCUUCCACUAUAAUUGGCUUACUUGAGUUGAGAAGGGUUAUUUAAAAGCCGAGGAUUGAACCCAAGGCGAAAUGAGACAACUGGAGGCUGGAAUCUACCAAUAAGAAUUUCUUUUCCUUUAACUCUCUUUAUUAUUUUUAUUAAUUUCAUAAUCACAAUUUCAGUCAACUUUAGAUUCUGUUUUUUCAUUUUUUCCAAAUCAAAUCUUUAAUUCUGUUAUUUUUAUUUUCCCUCUGUCACGCAGGUUUUCUUGGGCACGAUUCUGCCCAGGAUUUCGAGAAACAAGCAUUCGUAUAAUCCGGUCCCUGAGGAUUUGACCCUACUUCCCAUUUACUAUUCUUUUUCAUUAUUUCUACUAUUUUAUAGGGAAUAGGAUAUUUUUGGUGCUCUCAACGACCGCAUCAAAGCUACUUGAGCUUGAGCCCGAUUAAUCUCGUUUAUCGAUUUUCAUACUCAUGCUCAAACCAGAGCUUUGUUUAAUAAUUAACUUUAGCUUUAAUAAUAUAAAUUAAGGGUCAUAACAUAAUUUAAUAAUAUAAAAUAAUAAAAAUAUAUAUUAAAAACGAAAAGCUUGAUAAGACUCAUGAACCAUUCGAGCCAAAUAUUACUAAGCGUGAUUUAUGCUCAAGCUUGGCUCAAUAAUUAUUGAACUUGAAUAGGAUGUGAACACAAGUGUCUUAUUUACACCUCUAGCAUCAAAUACAUUAUCACGUGUGCAAUGAUACAUUGGCUUAUUAUUUCCAGAUAUUACUUAAAAAAAGUUAGAUAAUGAAUUUAAUGGUUGUUGUUCGCAUCGAAAUUGGAAUUUCUAUAUUUAAAAAAUGUAAAGACUAUGAGUGAUCAAAUUGGAGAGCAUGGACUAAAUUUGUACUUAACUUAUACUACAUUACUAAUAAUAGAAUUCAAUCAAAUGGAUUUAAUUACUACUGUUUAGAUCAAUACUAAAAUUUAAAAAUACAAAUAUAUAAAGACUAAAGUGAACCAAAUUAAAAUAUAUAGACUAAAGCUACAACUUUCACUAGGGACUAAAAGAAGAAAUCGACCUCUCUUAGCAUAUGGAUUAAUUUGGUUUCUUGGAGAUAAUUUCAGGUUUUUUUCUUUAUCAAAACGAAAUUUGAAUUGCUUAAACAAAUUAAAUUAGAUAAAGCUUUUAGCAACAUACUCACGUUUUACAAUCGUAUUGAUUUGGAUUACUAUUUAGGUUAGAUCAAAAUAAAUAAAUAAAUUCCCCGACAAAUCAUCCAUUCUAUGCUUCAAUUGUCAAGAAAUAAACAUUAUUCAAGACAAAUUAUCCAUUAUAUGCUUCAAUUGUCAACAGAAACAUUGAAAACCUCAAGAAAUAAACUUGGAGCUGUGGGGUCUUAUUGAAUGAGGACAAUAUGGAUGGAGACCCGUAUUAACACAUAGCUUUAAGGUCUCCACGUAGAAUUAGAAAUGAUUAAACUUAAUAAAUACAUAAUUAAAUUAGGUCUAGUCAUCCACUUAGAAAAGCAUUAUGAGUUGAAAAUGUAUCAAAUGGUAGUAGGGAGAUCCCAUAGCCAUGAUGAUGACCACGACACAUGCAACCGCGUACGUUGCCGAGAAACCUCCAGCAAUUGUGCGUGUCCUAGGGGGAUUUGAUCCAAUGUGGAAUUAGUUUUUGCUCUCCAUUUUUGACAAAAGUGAACUCAUGAUUUUCAUUUAUAAUUUAGUAUUAGGAGUAUUUUCAGAUUUCAUCGAUUUGCAUCUAAAUCAAUACAAUUAAAUUAAAUUAAAAAAAUUGAUUCAAUCAAUUAAAUUGAAUUCUUUUUAAUUUUUAAUAAUUUAUUUAAUUUUAAUUGAAUAAAUCGAUUGAACCAAAAAUUAGUGGUCUAAUCAAUUUUACUAUUAAUUAAGUUCAAGAAACAAUGCUUAUAAGUUGUUAAAAUAAGUAACAUUUUAAAUUAUUUUAAUAUUUUAAGCUCUCUCUCACGUGCAAUUGUUAAGAUAAAAUGUAAUUUUGGAGGUAUAAUUAAUUGGAGUUAGAGAUGUCAAAAGGAUGCGCAAAUUAUUAUUUUUUUUUGCUUAAUUCAUCUGUCACAAUUUGUUGUGACAAAAUUAGGUUCUUUCUUACAUUUAAUGAGUUUGUUUUCGAGUAAUUUGAUUAUAUUUUUAUUAAUUUUUCGUUUUAGCAUUUUAUGUUCAAUUUCAAUAAAACAAGUAUUUUUACAUAUUUUUAGUUGUUUUAAUGACUCAUUACGCCAAUCCAAACACUAAUGGGUUAAUUAAGUGCACAAGACAUUAUUUCAAGCCAAAGAAUCUGAAGAACAACUCCUACAUCGUGACACCAACAUCCCAUGUCGUGACACCCAACUUUGACAUUAAACAAGUCUCAUUCGAUGACAAAUGUCGCGAUACUAAUUCGAUGAGGGUCAAAUUACAAACUGAAGGUAUUUUCAUCUGCACAGUUCGUCCUAACUCAUUUAAUCAUUUGCAUUUGACCUAUAUGGUCAUAAAACACCAAAACUAUAAAUAGAAAAGUUUAAGGUUUAAUUGGGGGGCUUAUUUCCUUAAUUAAUUUUUAGUUUUCUAGGUUUAGGUUUUGUUUAAUUCAGAAUUUGUUGUUCACUUCUAUUUCAAUUCGAGUUUUAUUUUCUUCAUCAAUCCUUAGUUUUUCUUUUGGGUUGGCUUUCAAUCGUUGUUUUCUCAACAACUGUAGCAGUUCGCUUUUUAGUAGUGUCGGAAACAGUGGUUUUAAUGUCACAAAUCUGAAAAGUAAGUUCGUAAAUAUUUUUAUUUAAUAUUUACGAGUAAAAUAUGGUUUUUAAAAUGUUUUUGAUAUGGUAAUUAUGUUAUAUAUAUGAUUAAUUAAGUUCAAGUGGUAAGACCCUAAAGUCAAGUGGUUUUAGAAAAUGAGGUAUCGGGACCUCGUUUCCAUAAACUGAGUCGUAAAUAUUUUUAUAAAUAUUUACGGGGUAUCAUUAAGUUUUUAAUAAAGUUUCGUUAAGAAAUUUUAAUGUUUCGAUAGUUAAUUAAUUAAAAAGAACUAAACUGAAAAAAGUGUAAAUUUUAGUGAAUCUUGAAUUUUCAUUGAUUUGAUAGUUAAUUUGUAAUAAAAAAAAGGGCUUAAAUAAUAAUUAUCCCAUUUGUAUAUUAAUGACCAUAAUGGGUUUUUAAAUUGUGGUUUUAAAAGGUUUUAAUUAAGGGUAAUUGUGUAAUUUAGUAAAUAAAUUAAAGUUUAAUAAAUCAAAAGCCAAAUUCAUCAUCUUUUUCAUUAUCUUGCCGAACACCUAAGGCAUGUCACCAUUUUUGGAAGCUUCACAUUCGGCCAGGAUAGGAAGCCUGCAUGUAAGUCCGUUUUAAUUUCGUUUCUUGUAAUUGUUAUGUUUUUUAGAUCAUUGUAACUAAAUCUAGCUAGUUCGUACCUCCGUUUUUUAUUCUAUUACAAAUUUUGAAUGUUUCCAUUGAUGAAUCUUUAUGAGUUUAGAUGUUAAUGGAUGAAUUUGAAGUAUUAGUUGUUAUUUAAAAGUAUUUUGUUAAGUGAUUUUAAUGAAUUUGUCAAUUAGAGAUUAAAUUGUUAAAAUAGUAAAAAUAUAAGGAUUUAUUGUGAAAUUGUUACAUAAAUGGGCUGAAUUGGAUGCCAUCAAUAUUGAUCUAUUAUGAAUUUGCAAUAAAAAUGGCUAAUUUGCAUGUUUUAGGCUCAGGACUAAAUUGAAUAAAAAUAAAAGUUGAGGGUAAUUUUGUAAAAAUUUCAAAAAUGACUAAAUUGAAUAAAAUAAAUUUUUUUACUAUCUAAAUUAAUAAAUUGAAUAAAUUUAUUAAUUUAGAUAAAGACCGAGUGGAAAAUCCAUGAAAAUAAAAAAUUACCAAAAGCCCUUGUACUUUGAUAUUUCUGCAUUUAACUAAGUAAGUUCGUUAUAUGAUUAUCCUUAAUUGUAUUGAAUAUUUCAUACUAUUUCACUAUUUGUUAAAUCUUAAAUGCCAUUUAGCUAUAUUUUAAGAAAUUGAAAUGUAACGUUAAUUCGGGCUUUGUUCCGAUGAAUAUUUGGGAUAUGUGCAUAGUAGGCUUUGUGCUGGUGUAAUUGUAUCAAGCCCCGAGCCUAGCAGGCUCUGUUUUGGUGGGCUAUAUAGAUAACUAGUACGAUAAAUAUUGUUUCAAUUAUCCGAUGUUGUUUUAUUUGGUUUUACAGGCAUGAAAAAGGAAAAGUAAGGUAUGUGCUUCAAAUGAACUAUGUCAUGAAAUUUAUGAAAAGGACUGAAACGGUAAGUUUAUAAUUGGGAUGUAAAUAUAAUGAUUUAUAACCUUAUGAAAAGAUUAAUAAUUAUGUAUUCGACUUAUAAAUCCCAAUAUGUUAUAUAUGAAAAGUAUAUGUGAUCUUAUUGAAUAUACUCAAUUUGUGAGUUGAAUGGUGUUCAAUAGGUUUAUACUAAGUUUAAAGUAUGAGUGUUGAAUCAUGUUUAAUCUAAGUAUUAUACUAUUGAAGUGAUAAGUUAUGUUUCAUGUUUUACGAGCUUAUUAAGCAUUCAUUGCUUACGUAGCUGUCUUUCUCUUACCUUAUAGAUUAUCAGAAGCUUGAGCGGGUAAGAAGCUCGUCGGAUAUUCGAUGCCAAUUUGAAUGAAAGAAAACGAUAUGUUAAUGUAUGUAUGUAAAUGGUAUAAGGUUGAAAUGCUUGAAAUAAUGCAAAUGGUAUUAUAUGUUAAGUUGUUGUGCACUGAUGUUUUAAACAUGUUGUAAAAACAAUAGGUAACAUCGCGAUAACAUACCUCCAACGUCGCAACGACACUCACUUUUUGUGUAAGUUGCAACGUGAUACCUUCAAAGUUGGGACGCCAACCCGAUAAUUUUGAAAAUAUUAUAUUUUAUUCCUCAAACGACCUUGGGUUAUCGAAAGAGCUUUCGAAAGCUCGUUUAAAUCCAAGAUAUGAUUAUAUAACAUGUUGUAAUUAUGUAUUGAACUUAAUAGCAUGAAUAAAUUGUUUAAUUAAUUUUCAAAUGAGAUCAUAGUUACUCUGAUAAUGAAUGUGACAUCCUGUAGCUCAAACCUAACAAUCGGGUCAAGUACGAGGUGUUACAGAACGGAUGUAUCUUAAAAAGAUUAAAGAUAUCCUAUGAGGGCAACACACUUAUGAUAAGGUCAUUGGUCGAGCAUUGAUUGAGUAGUUUUCGUAAUGGUAUGUAAUUAGGGAGAGCUCAGUCACAAUACUAUAGUAGAAUGACUUCGUGACUAAAUAACUUUAUAAUUAACAGGCGAAAAGUUGGAUCUUAAUAAUAAAUUAUUUGAGCUCUAAUUAUAUAUAUCCAAUUGGUCCCUCUACUAGCUUGUUGAGACCAAAAAUGAAUUGCAUGUAGAACUAAAUGAAUAGAAAUGGACGAAAAUUAUAAAGUUUGAGAAAUGGGUCACAUUCGCAAAUGAAUGUGUUUUCUCACUGAGUAUAGAAAUGACUUAAUAAUUAAUUAAAGUUUUUGAAUUAUUAUUUAAUUAAAUAAUUGAAGUUCAAAAAUGAAAUUAAAUUAAUUAGUCAUUGUGAAUCCAUUAAAUAUGGAAAUUAAAUAUAUUUUCUCAUAUAUUGACAAAGUUGUUGUGACUUUAACAUAAUUAGAAUUGAGUUGAGAAAUUUAUUUAAUUAGAAAUUUAUUUAAUUAAAUUAAAUAAAUAAUAUUGAUUUAAGGAAAUAUAAAAACAUGUAUUGAGUUGGAUUAAAAGACAAAGAAGCACAUAUAAUUGGACCCAAUACACAAGAGGCCCAAAUUCUCCUCUAUUACAUAUGAGGGGUGGCAACCCUAGUACAUUUAACUAGGGUGUGUCAUCCAUCUCUUCUAGUUCAACUAGAAAAUUGGUUUUUCUAUUAAAGAAAUAUUAUGUGUUUUACUAAUUCAACCAAGAUUCUUUUUUUCUUUCCAUAUAAAUAGGUGACACAUGUAUAGUUAUACACAACAGAAGUUACACAUAAUUUCUAGAUAUUAUUAUUCUGCCAAAAAGUAAAGAUAAUUUAUUUUCUAAGCAUAAGUUCUAUUUUUUGUGAAACACAAUUCUAUCAGUUUCAAUUGAGAGAAAAUUAAUUUCCUACUGAAAGUAAUAAAUUGUUUUUGGUUCUCUAUUUCGCCUGUGAUUUUGCAAGCCUAUACUCAAAGUAAUUCAUGGUAUAAUAAUAGUAAAGAAGGUCGUUUGAUUAAAAGUUGAGAAUGUCCAGGAUCCAUCUCGCACAAAUCACAAGUAUUUUUCAAGAAAAAAAUUAUUGUUAUAAACAUCACAAAUCAGCUCAAUUUUAAAAUUUUUAAUUUUUUGCUGUGAUUGAAAAUCGUUUUUGUAAACCGGAUUUUUCCAACAACAUCAUCAAUAGACAUAAUAAAAGUCUUCAUACGAACUUUCUAGUAGGCAUAAUUAGGCAUAAUAGACACUGAAUUUCCUUCAUUUAUUUGUUCCAUAUCUGUAAAUACUCAACCAGAACGUCUUCAAAUACCUUAUUAAGCUGAGCUCUGAUACCAAUUGAAACAAAAUUUGGUACGAGUCGCAAGGCCCAAAAUUAGGCCCAUGAACAUGAUAGGCUCAAAUUUCCUCAAGACCAACAACGAGGUCGAAGGCCAAGCAAAUCCAAGUAAGAUUGAAUGGGACCAUCCAAGACUUUGUUACCAAUGCCCUAGAUGUGCAUAUGACCGGAAAAGAAAAUCAAGAAACCGAAUCUUGGUCCAAUUUUGUUGUUUCAAACAAUUUCAAGAAUCAAGAAAAUCAAGAUUUCAAAUCUUAGAAAUCUUGGUCCAAGAAAUUGAAUCUUGCAGCCAAGGUGCAUUAGAUUUCAUGUACGAGCUUGAAUGAGUCAAUUUCGAGAGCAAACAUAUCACAAGACCAAGUUCUUGAAAAAAAUGGCUCAUUAAGAUAUCUACAAGCCCAUCCUGAAGUUUGGAAAGUAAUUUAAUUUAAUAUCAGGAUAAAUUAUCAAAGUGGCCCAAAUUGUAAAAUAUUUAAACUAUAAGUCCAAUUUUAUUUUAAUAGGUGGAUCAUCAUGUAAGAAUUCAGCCCAGUGAGCCCAAUUAAUUCCUUUGGCUGAAUUCCCAUUAAAAGUUCAUACUUAGAAUUUUUUUAUUUUUUUUAUUUGAUGAGUUGUCAUGUUAGUUAUUCCAUUAGAGUUAGGAAAACUUAUUUUGGGGCUUAUAAGUAACAUGGACGUCCACCCUUAUAGAUGAACAAUUGAUUUCUGUUUUUUUUUAGUUAACAAUAUGUAACGCCCCGUACCCUAGACCAUUGCCGGAGUCGAACACGAGGUGUUAACGGACUUAAUUCAUUUACUUACACAGUUCAUUUUAAAAAUUUCUAGACAAGCUGGCUAACUGCAUCACGGUCACUUUAAAAAUCAUAUCUUGAGUUCCAAAACUUGAAAACCGAUUCCGUAAAUUUUUCCUGAAACUAGACUCAUAUAUCCAUAUACAAAUUUUUUUCUAGAAUUUUUGGUCGGGCCAAUUAGUACACUUUAUUAGUUAAAUUCUCCUCUGUUUCAGGGUUCGACUACUCUGACCUUCAUGAAUUACGACUUAGAUAUCUCCCUGUACAGAGCUUCAAUACUUAUUCCGUUUGUUUCUAAUGAAACUAGACUCAAAAAGGAAUCUGUACAUAUAAAUUAUGAUUUCUAAUUGUAUCUGGUUAAUUUAUGGUAAAUUUUCAAAAUCAGAACAGGGGAUCCAGAAAACGUUCUGGCCCGAUUUCACGAAAAUUUAAACAUCUCAUAAAAUACGGCUCAUAUGGUCGUUUCGUUUCUUUCAUAUGAAAAUAGACUCAUCAAGAUUCGAUUACAUAAUUUAUUCACUUUUAAUUCCAUUCCUACUAUUUUUAGUGAUUUUUCAAAUUCACAUCACUACUGCUGUCAGCAUCUAUUUUAAGGUAAAUUUUACCUAUUUCAUAAUUUUCCAUGAAUCAUUUAGUAAAUUGACAUACAUUAUUUUCAAGUAUAAUCACGAUUAGCCAUGACGUACGUAGCACCAAUAGGACCAUGAUUGGCCAUUCCAAUGGCUAAUCAUUACCAAACAUUUCCACACCACUUAAUAACCAUAUCAUAAGACCAUAUAUAUACAAAAUGACCAUAAUGUUAUACUCAAAAUAAACAAGUCAUUUUCGCAUGGCUAUACGAAUAUACAUUACCAAAAGAUACUUAAUUAAAAACAAGGGUCAGCCCUAUACAUGCCAUUAUCAAGUUCAACUGAAGAGUACCAAAAAGUGGCUUAGAUAGUGUGGAUGACUUCGACUUUGACACUCCCGAGUCCGAUAGUUGACGAACAAAAUCUAUAAAACAGAGAAUUAAAGCAAAAGAAUAAGCAUUUCGAUGCUUAGUAAGUUUUAAGUAAUGAAAUCAUUUAAAAGAAUGGCAUAAUAAUAUCAAGUUUGUUUGUUUCAUCCCUUGGCCGAAUAGAAACAUAACUGAGAUAUCACUUUUAUCAUUAAUAUCACAAAGGUGAAACCAAUUUAUCCAGCUAAAUCCAAUCCAUAACCGAAUGCGCUCAUCUCAAAUGUCCAUGUCAAUUUCAUGCAUAUACACAUACAUUUCAUAACUAUGACAUUGAACUCUCUAAUUCGGAACUCAUACAUCAUAAUCAGAUCAUAAACGUUUGGAUGAUUUAAAUAAUGUGCUAAGCAUUCCCAUCAAAUUUCAAAGUCAUAAUUGAAGUAUAUUCAUAUUCUCAACAAGAGUAAAUUACUUACCUGGUUAUCUUACGGCAAGUAGCACAUUUGUUUAAAUAUUGUUUCAACACAUAUUAUAUGAUUUCUUGUACGAAUACUUAUGGGUUUUCAACCCAAAAUAAUGCCAAAACAGACGCAUUUCAGAACCAAACUCGAUUCUUAGCGCUGGCUCAAAAGCCCUUCGAAACCAAGCUCAGAAUAUGCCCCUGGCUUGAAGGCCCUUCGAAACUGAGUUCGGUCAUGACACUGGUUCGAAAGUCCUUCGGAACUAAGUCCGGUUAUAUCACUGGCUUAAAAGCCCUUCAGAACUAAGUCCGAUUAUAUCACUGGCUUAAAAGCCCUUCGGAACUAAGUCCGGAUUUUAAAUCCCGAUUUAACAUUCACUCAUAUAAUCAUAUAUAUAUAUAACACAUUUGGAUAUCACUCCUAAUCCUCGAAUACAAUUACAACAUGUUUACCAACCAUGCAUCAUUCGGUUUAUUAGUCCUAAACAAAUAAAAUGAUCUCGUUUCGGUAAUCCACAAGAUUUCUAUGACCAUUCAGCUGUGGUAAACACUCUACUUAUUUACUUCGUCAUGUAAUUCGAGUAGAACCAUUAGGUCACAAAUUAUUCAUUAUGUCCCUAAAUAAAAAUGAUUGCUUUAGCAAACCAUAAGCUAAGUUCCAUUACUUAAAGACUUACCUCGGAUAUUUUUGAACAGUAGCGGAUAGGCUAUUCAAUUGCUUUCUCCUUUCCCUUAUCAAAUCUAGAUCCUCUUUGCUCUUGAGCUUAAUUUAAAACAAUUGAAUUCAUUUAAUUUCAAAUCAAAUAGGCGAUUUAAUAUAAUACAUGUAUAUUAUAAGGUUGAGGUACAUAUGACUUAAUGGUUAACUAUCAAACACCAUACGCAUAUAUAUAUUCUCUAGUCAUGCACAACCCAACAUCUUACUUAGGCAUUAACAACUUUAUAGAUAUAUGCAUAUCUAUGUUAAGGCCGAAUAUAUAUUUAACACAUUCUACAAAUAUGGUUAUUUAUAAUGACUAAACACCAUUUUAUCUCAAGUUAUACUUAUAAGCACAUCCAUCCAAAUACAUUUGUACUUAAACAUCAUUCCGACCUAACACUCAUAUUACAUCUAUAAAACUACAAGCCGAAUAUACCUAUACUUACAUCACUUAAACAUCAACCCUCAAUUUCUUUGACAAAGCACAUUUCCGAAAAUGAUAAGGCAAUAUAACAGCCUUAAUCCAACUUAUAAUUCAUACAUAUCACAUUCCAAGCAUUCACUCUAUUCUAUCUCUUAAAAUACAAACAUUACUCAAUAACUUCCUAGUUCAAAUUCGGCAAUUACACCCAUUCACUAGAUGAUUUAUUAUUAUUAUUGUUCAUUUAUUCAAACUACUUACAAUUACCUUAAACUAUCACAAUUAACAACCAUUUGUAACUUAUUCAUUAAACAUGAAAGCAACCGUAUAUCUCUUCCAUUUUCUACCAUGGCCGAAUGCUCAAGACACCACACCAUUCCAAAUUGGUCAUGGGUUAAGCAAAGAACUUAAUGACUAAUUCAAAAAUGUUAAAAAUCCAAGAAUCAUCAUUGAACUUACAUUAAUUUAGGUAACAACCAUAGCCGAGUUUCUCAAAGCUUUUUCUCUUCUAGUUACGGCAAUGAGGAGCAAAGAUGGAGAAACUUUGGUUUCUCCUUCCACUAAUCAACAUUUUAUUACUAUUCUUUAUUCAAUAUUCAUUUUAAAUGUUAAAAUGUUAGUAAAUAAUACUUAUAAUAGGCUUUAAUUAUGGUCAUGGCCGGCCACUAACACAACUAAAGGAUUAAUUGACAUGCAAGUACAUUGUUUUUACCUCAUACACAAUUUGAUCACAUUAACAUUUGUCUAAUACAUUUCUAAAUUUUCUCAUAUAAAUCCUAAUUAAUAAAAUUCACAUGCAAUUAACAAAAUUUAAGCAUGAAAUUUUUCACACAUUCAUAUUUACAUAAAACAAACAUAGAAUAUGACAGUUAAUUAUUUUUAUGACUCGGUUUUGUGGUCCCUAAACCACUUUCCGACUAGGGUCGAAUUAGGGCUGUCACACAAUAAUUCUCUUUAAGUUUUUCUUCAACUCUUAAGUUUACUUUAAAAGUUGUUUUAACAAUAUUUCAGGUUGUGGGAAUUAUCUUCAAGCCUUUUCUUGCCAAGAUUUUUUUCUUAUAAGGGGAACUAAAGCUAUUAAAAGGAGUUGUGGAUUCUUAAUAUUUCCAAGGCUUCUUAGGACGUCAUCUUCUCUUUUCUAGCCUUAAUUUAUCGUUUCUUGUUUACUUUAAUUUAGUUCUUGUUGUUUUAGCUUACUGGUUUUAUUGAUUUUCGUUCUAGCUUAAAAUUUCUUAAAGAGAGACGUUCUCCUAUCUUGUUCCAUCAAAAAACAUAUCAAAAUUAGGAGUUUUAAUCUUUUCUUGUUGUUUCAAAUAUUCUUGCACAAAACAGGUUGCUUUUGUCUCCAAAAUCACUUCUAACAAAUCUAUUUUGUGUUUUGUUUUCCAGAUCUAGUUGGGACAUUUUCUUGAGGUUUAAGGACGAUUUCUUUCCAUCCAAGAAACCCGAAUUCAUUCUUUAUUAGACUCUUACCAACUGGUUCAUCUUUCUUUUGUUUUAAUCUCAUGUGACUCUCAUUUGUGGCAACUAAUCUAUUUUCAUUGUUUCUCGUUUCAUCUUACAUUCGAUCUAGGUUAAAUUUGUAACUUAGACAAGCUACGAUUCUAUUCCGCAUGCAUGCCUUAUCUGGCUUUAUCAAAAUUAGUAAGCAGUAACGAAACAUUGACUUUAAUAAAUUUCAUUUCAAUGUGUGAUAGGACAAAAACCAUAAACUAAUGAAAAAAUAAAAGCAAUAUAUGGAAAAGAAAACACCAAAACCAAACUUUGUUAACUUAGUUUAGACAUAAAGGUCAUACGUUUGGUAGAGCCUCACUCAGAGUAUAAUCUUAUUCAAAUAACCAAUUAGAAUACGUCUCUAUCAGUUAAAGCCCCAAAACUCCUCUACAAGUAGAAUCCAUGCGAUCCUAAUAGAGAACCAAUAAACAACUGACAUACACUCAGUAUCAUUCUUUGUUUAGAAUGCAAGAAUUCUUAAUACAAAUAAAACACAAAAAUCUCAUAACAAAAACAAAUAAAAGCUAUAAACAAGUACUUGAGCAAGAAUGAUCCAAUCUUUUAGGAUAACAAAUCGCAUUCCUCGCCAAGUGUAUGAUCCUUCUAUAUAUAGAUCCAAUCAAAAAGAAAAAAUAAACUUGAUUAGCCUUGCUAAACAGCUGAUAAGUCUUCUAAACCCAAGCUUCAAAUUUACCGGCAAUCGAUAAUGAUAAAGCAAUGACUCUUAGCCAUAAAGUUACUCAUGAUCAAUAAUCCAUUCGGUUAAAGAUAUUUUUAAUUUAAAUUAAAUUAAAUUAAAUUUAAGGAUAAAUGAAAAAUAUUAUUUUAAUUAAAAUUUCAAUGAGAUUUUUAACUUUAAAUUAAAUAUUUAAGUUAACAUAUUCAAAUUCAAAUUUUAAAAUAAAAAUAUUAACUUUAAAAUUGUGUUAUGGAUUGUUAUUAAAAUUAAAAUAUUAUUUAAAAUUAAUAUUAAUAUUGGUUUAAGGGUAUAAAAAACCCUUAAACUUAAAAAAAAAAUUAAAUUCCUGCUUUUUUUUCUUUCUUUAUUUUUUUUUUUUGCACUCAUUGGCUACUUGAACCGUCAAAAUGCUUUAAAAAAAGCUUUUUGACCGUCAAAUUUAACAACAUCUUUUUUUUUCUUUUUUUCUUUUUUAGUUAAUGCUUCCACGUGUAUCAUGCAUUUAUUUUGACACGUGGCAGAAAAUGAUAAAAAUUAUAAAAAUAUUUAAAUUUUAUUAAAAAUUAUAAAUUUAUUUAAAAUUAUAUAAAAAAAUAUAAAAAAAUAUUAAAAUUAUAUAAAAUUUAAUAUAAAAUAUAAAUAUAAAGAGAAACAUAAAAUUGUUUCCUUAUAAAUGUACUUUACUACAUUUUAUAAAUAAUUAAAUAUUUAAAAUUUUAAUAUUAAAAAUAAAACCAUCCCUUCUUUAGUGGCCUCUAUGGUUGCUAUGGUAAAAAGACGACUCAAAAAUCUUAUCUUGUCAUCGUAUUUAUUCCCAACAUAGCUGAAUUAUGUUGGGCGUGGGUCCCACUAUGUGGGGAACCCUUACACUGGUCAACCCAACUUGAAAGGGGUUUUUAUUUCUUUUGUUUGGUUACAAAAAGGAAAACUUCUGCCACAUAUUUAUUACCCUUUUUUGGAUUUGACAAAAAGCCAUUCUUUUUGGCUUUUACGUGUGGAUGUGGGCAGCCAUUUAUUGAGAUCCAAAAAUCAAAUUUUGAAACAGAAAGAUUGAAGCUUGUCAAAAAAAAUACAAAAGAGGAGAAAUCAGUUUUUUCAAGUUUGGUGCAACAGUGAUCAACUCUUCGAUCAAAGGUCCAUCCAUAGUUUGAUUGAGCUGAUUUUUGGACAACAGCUAGGCGAUAAAGUGUUCUUGACCUUGGAUGGUCGGAUUUUUCAUUCGAGCCUUGUAGCGUCGGAAAUACCCAUUUUUCAGCAGCUGUAUUUUUGGUGAUGUUCUCCCAUUUUUCUCUCUUUUGCUAAAGAUUACAUAUUGUUAGCCUUGUUGGAGUUGAAUGUUUGUUGUAGGCUUGAUAUUGUGAUCUUGCAGUUGAACAUUUGAUGAUAGUGGAGCUUUUGAUCGGACUCUAAAGUCCCGUAGUUUUUACCCUUGAUUUAGAGGGUUUUUUACAUAAAAAUACCGGUGUCUCUAUUUAUUUAUUUUUGUUGUGGUUGCAUUGGUUGAUUAAGGUUGCUAGAGAACAUAUUUUGUGCUAUUGUGUUUGCCAUAAUCUUUUUUACAGGAGUUAUAAGGAGAGAAAGAACACCGAUUGUGCUUUGCUUUGUUUCGGUUGUUCGGUUUCUUCCCAACAAACUGGUAUCAGAGCCAGGUUAUUGUGUCAGAUAAUUAUGGAAAUCAAUACGAGCAAGAUGAUUAUGUUGAAUGGCACAAAUUAUCAACUUUAGCAUAAUAAAAUGAAGGACUUGUUGUUUGUGAAGGCUUUGCAUCUUCUGGUCUUUGCUACUCAAAAACCCGAUUCGAAAAAUGAUGAAGAAUGGGAAUUUGAGCAUCAAUAAGUGUGUGGCUUUAUUCGGCAAUUUUUUGAAGAAAAUGUUUACAACCACAUUGAUCAGGAGACACAUGCUCGAACAUUGUGGGAGAAGCUUGAAAGCUUGUACGCUUCGAGGUCGAGCAAUAACAAGUUGUUUUUACUGAAGAAAAUGAUGGCAUUGAAAUACAAAGAAGGAACGUCUAUAGCUGACCAUGUUAGUGGAUUUCAGAGUGUGAUGAAUCAGUUGCUUGGUAUGGGUGUCAAAUGUGAUGAAUUAGUUACUUGGUAUGGGUGUCAAAUUUGAUGACGCGAUUUUAUGGCUUUGGUUACUUGCUACUCUACCAGACUUUUGGGAGACCUUUAAGGUCUCACUCAUUAAUUCUGUCCCACAGGGUAUUAUUAUUUUGGAUUUGGCUAAGAGUGGUGUGUUGAAUGAAGAGGUUAGAAGAAGAUCUCAGGGUCCUACAUCACAGUCUGAGGUGUUGGUUAUCGAGAACAGGAGGAAGAACAGAAACAAAGAUGGAAAGGGUAGAGAUAAAAGCCGAUGCAAGUCAAGAUCGAGAUACAAAAAUAUUGAGUGCCAUCAUUGUGGUAAGAAAGGCCAUAUCAAGAAACAUUGCUUCAAGUGGAAGAAAGAGAACAAAGAUGGUGGUGAUAAACACAAUCAAAAUGACGAUAAAAAAUCCGAGCAUGUUACUACUGUUACUCGUGAAGAUCUGUUGGUUAUUUAUGAUGAGAAUUUGGUCAACCUAGCAUGCGACGAGACUAGUUGGGUGAUUGAUACUAGUUCAUCACUUCAUGUCACGUCAAGGAAGGAUUUCUUCACAUCUUAUACUCUUGGUGAUUUUGGGGUAUUGAAGAUGGGUAAUGAUGGUUUGGUUUUAGUUAUUGGUAUGGGAGAUGUUAGCUUGGUGAGUAACAAUGGAACAAAGUUAACUCUCAAGUAUGUCAAACAUGCACCGGAUAUCCAUUUGAAUUUGAUUUUUGCAGGAAAGCUUAAUGAUGAGGGAUUCUGUAACACCUUCAGUGAGGGGCAGUGGAAGCUGACUAAAGGCUCAUUGGUUGUGGCUCGAGGAUAGAAGAGCUCAAAUUUAUAUCUUGAUGCAAGCUUCGACUUCUCGAGAGACGGUGAAUGUGACAGUGAAUGACAGCUCAACUGAGUUGUGGCAUAAACGACUCAGUCACAUGAGUGAGAAGGGCUUAACUGUUUAGAAAGAAAGAAUUAACUUUCGGGUUUGAAGAAUGCUACACUGAAGAAUUGUGCUCAUUGUCUAGCAGGAAAGCAGAGAAGAGUUUCAUUUAGAAGCCGUCCUCCUCAUAGAAGAUCAGAGUUGCUAGAGUUGGUCCAUUCAGAUGAUUGUGGUCCGAUAAAAGUAAGGUCACAUGGCGGUGCACUUUAUUUUGUGACUUUCAUUGAUGACUGUUCAAGAAAGCUAUGGGUUUACACUUUGAAGUCUAAAAAUCAAGUCUUUGAGGUGUUUAAAUAGUUUCAAGCAUUAGUUGAAAGGGAAACAGGGAAGAAGUUGAAGUGCAUUCGUACUGAUAAUGGUGGCGAGUACACAGGGUCGUUUCAUGAGUAUUGUCUGCGACAGGGAAUCAGACAGCAAAGAACACCACCAAAGACUCCACAGUUAAAUGGGUUAGUUGAAAGAAUAAAUCGAACAUUGAUUGAGAGAGUCAAAAGUUUGUUGUCAGAUGCAAAGUUGCCAAGAUCAUUUUGGGCUGAAGCUUUGAAUACAAUGACACAUGUGAUAAAUCUAUCUCCUAGUGUUCCUUUGCGAGGUGAUGUGCCAAAUAGAGUUUGAUUUGGUAAAGAUGUGUCAUAUGAUCAUUUACGUGUGUUUGGUUGUAAAGUAUUUGUUCAUGUUCCAAAAGAUAAAAGAUCCAAGUUGGAUGCCAAGACUCGACAAUGCAUUUUUAUUGGUUAUGGUCUAGAUGGUGAGUUUGGUUAUAGACUCUAUGAUCCAGUUCAGAAGAAACUCGUGAGAAGCAGAGAUGUUGUCUUCAUUGAGGAUCAAACCAUUGUUGGCAUUGAUAAGACAGAGAAAGUGGAUUCACAAGAUAGUGGUGACUUGAUCGAUGUGAAUCCAGUUCCAGACUCUUCACCAGAUCCUAUCCAGGAUGAUGUGCAUGGUGAUAUUAGUGAUGACCAUCAGGAUAUAGGUGACUUUGAUACUCCCAUAAAUGAUGUUGUGAAUGAUUAACAACAAACACCUAUAGCUCCACUAGCAGUUCCACUUCGAAGGUCUUUCAGAGAUCGACGAUCUUCUGUCAGGUAUUCUUCUGAUGAAUAUGUUCUUUUGACUAACGAGGGAGAACCUGAAUAUUAUGAAGAGGCUAUGGAGAGUGAAUGCAAAGAUCAGUGGGUUGAAGCGAUGAAAGAUGAACUUCAAUCAUUGCAUGAGAACCAUACCUUUGAGUUGGUGAAACUGCCUAAGGGCAAAAAAGCUUUGAAGAAUCGAUGGGUUUACAGGCUGAAGCAAGAAGAGAAGUCUUCAUCUCCACGAUACACGACUAGAUUGGUCGUCAAGGGCUAUACUCAGAAAAAAGGGGUUGAUUUUGAAGAAAUAUUUUCUCCAGUUGUGAGGAUGUCCUCUAUCAGAACUAUACUGAGUUUGGUAGCUUGUUAUGACUUAGAGGUUGAACAAAUGGAUGUGAAAACUGCUUUUCUUCAUGGUGACUUGGAAGAAGAGCUUUAUAUGGAGCAGUCAGAGGGGUUUGUUGCACAAGAGAAAGAGGACUAUGUGUACAGAUUGAAGAAGAACUUGUAUGGUUUGAAGCAAGCUCCAAGGCAAUGGUACAAGAAGUUUGAGUCUGUUAUGGGGAAACAAGGCUAUAAGAAGACUACUUCUGAUCAUUGUGUGUUUGUUAAGAGAUUCUCUGGUGAUGAUUUUAUAAUUCUUGUACUCUAUGUUGAUGAAAUGCUUAUUGUUGGUCAGAAUGCUUCUAGAAUUGAGAAGUUGAAGCAAGAGUUGAGUAAAUCCUUUACAAUGAAAGAUUUAGGGCCAGCAAAGCAAAUUCUUGGCAUAAGAUUGACACGUGAUAGAAAGGCCAAGAAAUUAUGGUUAUCACAAGAAAGGUACAUUGAGAAAGUACUUCAAAGGUUUAGUAUGGACAAAGCUAAAGCGGUGAAUACUCCCUUUACUACGCACUUCAGAUUGAGUGUUAAGCAUAGUCCUUCCACAGAAAAGGAGAAGGAAAAGAUGCAGAAAAUUCCUUACUCUUCAGCCGUGGGUAGUUUGAUGUAUGCAAUGGCUUGCACGAGACCAAACUUAGCUUAUGCCGUUGGUACAGUUAGUCGGUUCUUUCUAAUCUAGGAAAAGAGCAUUGGAAUGCAGUGAAGUGGAUUAUGAAAUAUCUUUGUGACACUUCCAACAUGAAAAUUUGUUUCGGCAAUGAGAAACCUGUUCUUGUUGGGUAUACAGAUUCAGACAUGGCCGGAGACAUUGACUCAAGGAGAUCUACUUCAGGUUACUUGAUCACUUAUGCAAAAGGAGCUGUGGCAUGGCAAUCAAGAUUGCAAAAGUGUGUUGCAUUGUCCACCACUGAAUCUGAGUUCAUUGCAGCAAUCGAAGCGUGCAAGGAGAUGCUUUGGAUGAAGAAGUUUGUGCAUGAGCUUGGUUUUACUCAGGAGAAGUAUGUCAUGUAUUGUGAUAGCCAGAGUGCUAUUCAUCUUGGUAAGAACUCAACUUUUCAUGCUAGAUCUAAGCAUAUUGAUGUGAGGUACCAUUCGAUACGAGAUGUUCUUGAAGCUAAGCUGUUAGAGCUUGAGAAGAUACACACUAAUGAUAAUGGUGCUGAUAUGUUGACGAAGGCCUUACCAAGAGGAAAGUUUGAAGCAUGUUGUUUGACCUCCGGCAUGGAGGCAUUCCCUACAUAGUUGGAGGGGGAGAUUUAUUAGGUGUGGGUCCCACUAUGUGGGGAACCUUUAUACCAGUCAACCCAACUUAGAAGAGGUUGUUUAUUUAUAUUGUUUGGUUACAAAAAGGAAAGCUUCUGCCACAUAUUUAUUACCUAUUUUUGGAUUUGACAAAAAGCCAUUCCUUUUGGCUUUUACGUGUGGAUAUGGGCAGCUAUUUAUUGAGAGCCAAAAAUCAAAUUUUGAAACAGUAAGAUUGAAGCUUAUAAAAAAAAAAACAAAAGAGGAGAAAUCAGUUUUUUUUCAAGUUAGGUGCAGCAGUGAUCAACUCUUCGAUCGAAGGUCCUUCUGUGGUUCGAUUGAGCUGAUUUUUGGAUAGUAGCUAGGCAAUCAGGUGUUCUUAACUUUGGAUGGUCGGAUUUUUCAUCCGAGCCUUGUAGCGUCGGAAAUACCUAUUUUUCAAAAGCUGUAUUUUUGGUGAUGUUCUCCCAUUUUUCUCUCUUUUGCUAAAGAUUACAUAUUGUUAGCCUUGUUGGAGUAGAAUGCUUUGUCGAAACCAUCCCUUUGAUUUAAAAAUUUUUAAAUUUAAUAAAAAAGGGGGAAGUCGACUUUUGAAAAAUAAAUGCAUGGAGUCGCCACCGAUCUUUUGUUUUGGUGUGAUCAGGUCACCUAAGAAUGUGGUUAUUUUAAUAAAACAUUUUCGGUUUACUAAAACACCGAUUAUGGUCUACGAAAAUUUUAGAAAAUGGGCUCGGGAGUCAGUUACGUAUGAGGAAGGGUUAGCACCCUCACUACGCCCAAAAUUGGUACCAAAUCGAUUAAAUAUUGUCCUUAUGUCUAAAAUUAAAAAUGUUUUUGAAAUGUGGUUCUUUUUUUAAUAACAUUUGAAUAACCCGAGUUGAUUGUCAAAAAUCUUCUUGUUUCGACGUCCGAAAAUUUAUAAUUUGAAAACCACAAAAGGAUGCUUAAUUAUUUAGUCCAACGGAACACCGAAACCCAGCACAGUAGGGCACGAUUCCUCGAAUUUCCAAACAUUGACCAUUGCCUCACCUUAGAAAAUACGAGUGAAAUUCCAAAGAAAUAUCCGAUUGUUUUGAACAAACGAGAGAUUGCAACCAAGUACGACAGGGCACGAUUCUCGAAUUGCCAAACAUCGAACAUAGCCUUUGUUUUAAAGGGUUUUCUUAAGAAACAUGAGUGAAAACCUAAAGGAAUAUUCGAUCAUUUUGAACAAACAAGAAAUCACAACCCAGCACGAUAGGGCAUGAUUUCUGAAUUGUCAAACAUCGAGUAUUGCCUUCGCUUUAGAGGAUUUUUAGAAGACCUGAAUGGAAUCUCGAAGGGAUAUUUGAUUAUUUUGAGCAAACGAGAAAUUACAACCCAACACGUUAGGGCACGAUUCCGCGAAUGGCCAAAUAUCAAACUUUGCCUUCGUUUUAAAGAAUUUUUUAAAAGGCAUGAGUGAAAGUUUGAAGGGAUAUUCGAUUAUUUCGAGCAAACGCGAAAUUGCAACCCAACACGUUAGGGCACUAUUCCGCGAAUUGCCAAAUAUCGAAUCUCGUCUUCUUUUUAAAGAAUUUUUAAAUGAAUACUUGUAAAACUAGCUUAAAACGCAUUAAUUCGAUUUGAAAUAAGACGAAGUUAAUCAUAAAAUUUAGAUUUUGUAAAACCACAUUUCAUAACCCAAGUGGAAAACGAUGAUAUGAGGUAAUAGGCAUAUAUGAGAUACCACGCUCGAUGAAUGAGAAUAUUAAUCAACUAGCGGAGUAAGCAAUUAAAUAUAAUUAACCUAGAAAUUAUAACCUAAUUUCAAUCAUGUAUGAAGAGUAAUUAACAUACUAAUAAGACAAAUGCCAUGCAAGGAAUAUAUAUAUAUGCUAUAAUAUAAAACAACCAACGAAGCAUAUGCAAAACAAAAUGGAAUUUAGAAGUCAAAGUGGUUUAAGGUUAAUAAACUCAUACUAUAUAAGUUGACAAGUUUGAAUAAAAACUAGGAAUAUAUAUAACUAUUGAAAUAAAUAUUAGAAAGUGAAAGUUUGAAUUAAAUUGUAUGUAAAAUGUUCUAGACACAAAUGCAUUUAAAAAUUGACAAUGUACAUAAUAAUUUAAAUAAUGUAUAUAAUAUGAAAGAAUAAUAAAGGUAUAUGACAAGAUAUAAUGCACUAAACAGAUUUACAAAACAUAUAUACAUAAAUAACUUUUAAAAAUAAUUAUUUGUAAAGACAUAGAAAUACCUACAAGCUUAAAUUAAUUUUAUAACAAAUUGUAUAAUGGACUUAAGAACAUGUUUAUAUAUAUAUAAAGAAGACUAUAUGUAUGAAACACAUGGAUUUAAUAAUAUAUAGAUCAAAUGUAGGUAUCAAUAAAUAUACAUAUAUAAAUAAUGAUUACUUAGAAGAUAUAUUACGUAGGACUAUAUAAUGAAAUACAAGAAAAAAUUUGAGAAAUCAUAUGUAUAAAAUAAUAUAAGGUUAAUAAUAUAUAUACGAAAUGAGUUAACUUUAAUAUAUAUAAAAGAUAUGCUCAUAUGUACAAAGUAUAUUUUCUUUUUUAAGGAGUAUCUAGUUAAAAAUGACCAUAUACAUAUAAAAAGAAAAAAUAAUAAUUUAAAUGACAUAUACACCAUAUAUAUAUAAAAGGAUCGAAUAUGAGGAUAAAAUAUAAAUAUGUAUAUAAAAAUAUAUGAAAAUUUUUUAAAUGAAUGAUAAAACGAAUUUAAGGAUACAUCAAGUUUUAAAAUGGGAAAAUAUGUAACAACACAAAACAAGUAGUGUGUAUCUAAAAUAAAUAAUAUAUGAAAACCUUAGAUUAAUAAUAAUUUAAUUUAAAAGCGAAGGAUACGACAAAUUUAAAAUUAAUAUGGAAAAACGGUUAGAACUUAAAUAUGGACAUAAAUUCAUUUAAGUGUCAUAAAUCAAGAAGUAUUUUAAAUAAUCUAUGUAUCAACGUAUAGAUAAAUAUUUUGGCAACAAUUUUAUAAUAGGGUAUUUAAACAAUAUAAUGUAAAAAGAAUUUUAAACAUUCCAAAAUAACAGUCAUUAUAAAAAAAAAUUUAUUAGUAUACUAUUAUAUAUAUAGUAAUUAAAGAAAUAGAAUACAUAAGGUGAAAAUAUAAAGACAAUCUCUAAAAGAAAUCAUACAAAUGUAGCCAAACAAAAUUAUUAACAUGGAUUAAAGCAUACACAUAUUAAAUGUAUUAAAAAUUAAUCAAUGGUACAACUGUAAGACCAAAUUAAUACUGCAAUAAAAUAGGGAGGAUAAUUUACAAAUAAAGUAAUCAUAAUAUGGACCAAUGCUCCAAGCGCAUAAAUGUAUAAGGACUGAAUUUGUAAAUAUCUCGUGCCUACAAUGCUGCAUGGAACCGCGGAUCAAAGUGAAAUAACGCACAAAUUAGCAGGCCAAAUUUUAAAACACAAGGUAGGCAAAUUGGACGCAAAUUGAAGACUGUGCGCAAGGGGAAGGACUUGUUGCAUAAAUAGACCAUUUUAGGCGCAAAAGGCUCCCCCCACCCUUCUUACACGGUACCGUUUCAAAACUUUUAUAAAAGCAAACAAUUCCUCCCAAAAAAAAUGAAACAAUCGGUCCUUUUGAAAUUGAAACCCUAGCCUCUUUUUAAUCCCUCAUUUGGCCGACCAGAACUCACCCCCAAUCGCCACACCAUCAUUGUAAUAGAUGACUAGCAAUGAGUUGGGCUUGAUUUUGAAGAGGAAGAUGCAACUCUGACAACCCGAUUGAUUCAGGUGAGUGUUUCUUUAUCCCAAUCCUUUUUAUUCUAUAUUAAAAUGAGAAAUGAAAAAAAGAAAAUCACCAAAGAACGAUGCAAAUCCUGCUCCAACAAUAAAGAACAAAAGAAGGAUAAUCACCUGCCCAAAAACUCUUUUUUUUUUUUGAUUCUUUUCUCUUAAUUUCUAUACAUGUAUGCGUAAAAAAGGGAUCCCCUCUUUUUGUGUGUGUAUCUUAGUAAAAAAGGAUAAAAACUAGGCGAGAAAAUAAAGAGAAAAAAUAAGAAUCAGAACAGCGAAAAAAUGAACCACCUUCAAAAAUAUAUUUUUUUCUCGAUUGCUUGGUGUCCGUUCGUAGUUUUUACAAAAGGAAAGGUUCUUGGCUUUAUAGCCGAACCAAAUAAAACGACAAAGAAAAAUACAAUUCCUUUUCUUUUUUUAUUGCUCAGCUUGUUUUUUGCUAUUGCUAUUGUGGUUGUCAUUUGCUUGUCUUUAUUUGCAGGUACGGAGGCAACAUGGUGGGGGUAGCUGGCGCGUACGAAGGCUGCUGGUGGUGUCGACGUGGAGGCGCCAUUCAUGGUAGUGCUGGAGGCUACUGUGUUCCUUGCUGCUAGGGUUCUGGAACAUUGAUAAUUUGGGCUUUUCGGGCCUAUUCUAGUAGUUGGGCCAUAAUUUUUGUAAUUGGACUGUAAACUGGGCCGCUAUUGACAUUUGGAUUUUUAUAUUAGUGUAUUUUUCAUUUUUUUUGUGGUUUUUGUUUGAUUUGUAUUUGCACGGGCCCGGGCCAAAAUUGGGCAUUACAUGCUUGUUGUAGGCUUGAUAUUGUGAUCUUGUAGUUGAACAUUUGAUGAUAGUGGAGCUUUUGAUCGAACUCUAAAGUCCUGUGGUUUUUACCCUUAAUUUAGAGGGGUUUUCCACGUAAAAAUACCGGUGUCUCUAUUUAUUUAUUUUUGUUGUGGUUGUAUUGGUUGAUUUAUAGUUGAUUAAGGUUGCUAGAGAACAUAUUUUGUACUAUUGUGCUUGUCAUAAUUUUUUACAGGAGUUAUAGGGAGAGAAAGAACACCGAUUGUGCUUUGCUUUGUUUCGGUUGUUCAAUUUCUUCUCAACAAAUUAGUCUCCCAUAAACCAGGUUUGGGAAGGAGAGGGAAUAAAAAAAAACAGGGCCGGAAACUCAACGGAACAACCGAUCUUCAAAAAUCAGAGCUUAGAACCAUCGGAAGUGACCAGUGGUCGUUGGAAAGUAUAAGGCCAACUAUUGAUGAAGUAUAUUAGUUUUAAAAUAGAUGUAAAAUAUGGGGUUUUACUUGUCACUGAUGGAAUAUAAUUCAGGG